UAAGUUAAAUAUCAUUCAUACAUCAUAGCGUCUCUUCCAAGUUCUGGGAAGAGAUUAUGGGAAAAACUAUUAGCUGCUCUGUUUUACUAGCUUUAAUAUAUUGUUUUUACUUACUAUUUGCCACUGCUUUAGACACAAUAACACCAUCAAAAUCCAUCAAAGACCCUGAUGUUAUAAUCUCUCAGAAUGGUGUUUUCCGAUUGGGAUUCUUCAGCUUGGCUAACUCCAGCAAUCGUUAUGUAGGGAUUCUCUACAAUCAAAUCCCCGUACAAACUGUUGUGUGGGUAGCAAAUAGAAACAGGCUUCUCGAAGACUCUUCUGGGAUUCUCAACAUAUUAGAUGAUUGCAGCCUUGUUGUUUCCAAUGGAAAAGCUGAGGUUCUUUGGUCAUCACAUGUUAACAAUACAGCUCCUAAUGCAACAACUGCCCAGCUUUUAGACACUGGAAACCUUGUCCUUAGUAAUGGUGAGGAUAGAGCAAGCAGCUUAUGUGAGAGUUUCGAAGAUCCUUCUAAUGCAUUCAUUGAAACUAUGAAGAUCAGUACUGAUGUUAAAAAGGGUCGUAAAGUAGAGCUGAAAUCAUGGAAAAGCAUUGAUGACCCAUCUGAUGGUAACUUUUCUCUUAGCCUUGAACCUUUCAACAGCCCAGAGGGCAUCAUUAGAAAGAAUAACGAGCUCUAUUAUCGGACCGGUCCAUGGAAUGGGAAUACCUUUAUUGGCUUAAUAGAUAAGUACACUGCUUAUCUUGAAGGGUUUGAUGUUGUUGCAGAUAAUCCACAACAACCGUACUAUAUGACUUACGAAAUUUCUAAUGACUCUAUGUUGAUAUACGGUGAAUUAGAUUCUCAAGGAAAAUUCACUGAAUGGAAAUGGGAUGCGGGGAAAGGGAACUGGAUAUUCAAGUACUCUAGUUAUCAAACAAAUUGUGAUGUUUAUGGAUACUGUGGGGCAUUUGGAAUAUGCGAUUCAUCGAGACGACCCAUUUGCAGUUGCUUAAAGGGGUUUAAGCCUAGGAAUAUAGAGGAAUGGAGUAGAGGUAAUUGGAGUAGUGGAUGUUUUAGGACUACCCCUUUGCAGUGCCAAAGAGAUAACAAUAAUGGCAGUGGAGCAGGCCAAGGUGAUGAUGGGUUUUUGGAGAUGAAGAGGAUGAAAGUGCCAGCAUUUCCGCAUCCGUCAUCAAUAAGUAACGGUCAGUGCAAAGACCAAUGCAUGAACAUGAAGAAUUGUUCGUGCAUGGCUUAUGCGUAUGAUGAUGGCAUUGGUUGCAUGUUGUGGAGUGGAGAUUUGAUUGAUGUCCAGAAAUUCUCCGCUAGCGGCGUCGAUCUUUACAUUCGUCUGCCAUUUUCGGAACUGGGUAAAUUUUCUUAGUGUCGAUCAUGUGUUUGAUAAAUUGCGUCAAUAUCUGCCUUUUUGGGUUGAAGUUAUUAACCAAGUUUUUCUAUUUGCAGAUAAAGUGAAAAGUAGUAAGAUCAUUGUUAUUACAACAGUAAUUGCGGGCAUACUCAUUAUUACAAUUUCUACACUCUUCUUAUGGUGUAGGAUAGCUAAAUAUAAAGGUAAUACAUAUGAAAAAUAUUUAUAUGUAUAAAUAAUUUAUUAAGAAAUUACAAAUUAAACUAGAAAUAUAUAUGUAGAAAAUACUGAUAAAUCUGAAACGAUAUAUUGAAACAUGCUGGUAUUGGUACAUAUUGAUAUCGUUACAUAUCAAUGUCAAGACAACAAUAAUGUAUCUAUCAAUGCGGUACUAACUACUUUGAUCCUAUCUCAAGAAGAAAUGAAAAACGAAAGCAGAUCAAACAUCAGCUUUCUAGUGAAAAUAUAGGAGAAAAUUCAAUUGGAGUUAAACUCCAGCAGAUGCCACUAUUCAAUUUCAAAGAACUCGCCGCCGCGAUGGACAAUUUCCGUCACACAAAAAAGCUAGGGCAGGGUGGUUUUGGUCCAGUUUACAAGGUAAUAAAUAAUGGCGAUUUUCAGCAAAUCCAGUGUCAAUGAAAUGGCAUUUUCCUUUUUUCAAUCAAGUCUUGUGAGUUGUAUUUUGUGUAUAGAGAACAUUAGAUGAUGGAAAGGAAAUAGCAGUGAAGAGAUUGUCGAAAGCUUCGGGGCAAGGAUUGGAAGCAAUUACAAGCAAUUUGUCAAAGUACUCUUUCACCAUCUCGGAGUUCUUCAUGUUUUGGAGUUCUAUUUCUCUAAUCAGGUUUAGCAUUUUCACGCUUUUAUUCUUUUCAUCUCCUUCAUACUCCUUCAAGAAAUUCCAUACUUCAAAGGUUGAUUUCUUUGUCAUGAUUCUGAGAAAGAUAUCAGAUGAGGCUGUGUUAUGGAAUAUAAUAAGCAUUAAUUGUAAAAGUUAGUUAAGAUAGUUAGUUGGGUUCAGUUGUUAAAUGGUUAGUCAAUUAGCAGUUAGUUAAUGACUUUUUGUAUUAAAUACUCGGAUUAUUCUUCUUUUGCAAGUGAAAUGAAGUCAGUUUACUUCUCAACUAAGUACGUUAACAUGGUAUCAAGAGCCAUGGAUUCUUUGGUAUAAUUUUUUUCCUGGUUCCUCGUGUUCAUGGCAACAGGCACCGUCCCAAUAGUUAACACGCCUUGGCAUUCACCAAUACUGGUGAAGCAGCCAUCAGCAUGGUCCUGACAGCCUUUAUCUGAUGUCCGUUACUUUUCCAAACAUGAUACUAUUAAACUCAGUAAGCAUAAUUUUCUUUUAUGGAAGCACCAGCUGCUGUUGAUUCUCGAAGGUUAUGGUCUUGAAGGGUUUGUCUUAGGCACUGCUCUUCCUCCUUCCCCUUUUCUACCUCGGACUGAUGGUCAGCAUGUUGAUAAUCCUGUGUUCAUUGUGAAUAAAAAGCAGGAUAAGUUCUUAGCCUAUUGGCUUUUGUCCACAGUCAUAGAUGAAAUCUUAGUGCAUCUAAUAGCGGCCAAGACCAGCUUUGACAUUUGGACAACCAUUGACAAAAAGUUUGGUGCCAAGUCCAAUAUCAAGAUCUCGAGUAUGUGCCAUGCACUAUACUCGAUCAAGAAAACAAAUCUUACUAUCAAAGAUUACCUGUCCAAGGUCAAGAGUCUAAGUGACAGUCUGACUGCAGUUGGUAGCCUAGUUACUGAACAAGAACAGGUCAGCAUUAUCUUGGAGGUCUCUCCAUCGAAUUUGAGUCCAUUCGAGUCUUUCCUUCUACCACUCCCAUGAGUCUUGAACUGGUCACUGAAAUGCUUCUUGAUUGUGAAGCACGACAAAUGACCCUAUUGAUAAAAGUGCCUUUGCAAGUUAACUUGGUGUCUUGGUCACAGCAAGGUAAUCUCGACAACAUGAUAUUUGGUUUAGAUUCCAAUCGUGGUUCUCAUUAAAGACACAGGGGUCAAGGUCGUUGGUGGUCUCGUGGUUAAGCUUGUGGUUCAGGUCGUGGGUAGUCUCGUUUUAAACUACAGUGUCAGCUAUGUGGUAAAAUAGAACACAUAGUGCAAACGCGUUAUCACAGAUUUGAUGAGAAUUUUUCUGGUCUUGGUUCGAGUCCCUCAAUGUCAAUCAAUUAUCAUCAGCUUAAUGAGUAUCUUACAUCCCAUUGCUCAUCGACUCACUGUUGUGGCUCGUUUUCACAGCCUUCCUUUGCAGCUCCUCACUCGUCCUCUCGAGCUCCAUCUUCCUCAUUUCCUACUCAAACCUGGUACCCUGAUUCUGGUGCAACUAACCAUAUCACCCCAACCAUGGCUAGUCUUACCAAUGCUUCUCCUUAUACAAGUACAAGUCAAGUUUUCAUGAGUAAUGGUGAGCCUGUUUCUCUAGCUAAUAUAGACUCAUAUGGCUGGUUCUCGGUUGUUACACCUCAAAAAUAUACUACAUGUUCCUACAGUUUAUAAAAAAUUGAUAUAUGUAGGGCAGUUUGCAAGAGAUAAUUCAGUCUAUUUCGAGUUUCAUCCCUUUCUGUGUUUUGUGAAGGACAUUCGGAUAGGGAGGACUCUACUGGAGGGCCACAUGCAUAAUGGCUCGUAUAGGUUUGACUUCUCUCGAGCUGCUUCACAUAAGCCUGGUCCUACUUAAAGCUCAGGGUCUACUCUUUUGUGCAACAUACAGGCUCCUUCCUCUUUUGAGUUGUGGCAUAACAAACUUGGACAUCCCUGCCAUAAUACACUUGCUCAUGUUCUACGUUUUUGUAAUGUGUCUUUCAAGCAUAGCAUCUUGCAUUUUAUGUGUACACCUUGUAAAUUGGGCAAAUCUCACAAGUUGCCUUUCAGUGCUUCACAAACAGUAUACUCAUUUCCUUUUGAAUUGGUCGCAUCUGAUUUUUGGGGACCAGCACAUGUGCGAUCAAGUGGUUUCUCUUAUUAUGUUUCCUUUGUUGAUAUGUAUAGCAGACAUACUUGGCUAUAUUUUCUUAAAAACAAGUCUGAGGUUUUUCGUUGUUUCUUUUAUUUUCACAAAAAUGGUUCAAGUGUAAUUUGGAAAGCCUAUCAAAAUGCUACAGAUAGACUGGGGGGCGAGUGUCGUUCUUUGUCCACUAAGCUCUCUCAACUUGGUAUUCAACAUUGAAUAACUUGUAUUUAUACCUCAGAACGAAAGGGGGUUGCUUAAAGGAGACAUCGACAUAUCGUUGACAUGGGGCUCACACUACUAGCUCGGGCAUCCAUGCCUUUGGAGUACUGGUCAACUGCCUUUUCUCAUGCAGCUCAUCUGAUCAACAAGGUUACCAACGCCUGUUUUGCAAAAUCAAACUCCUUAUGAGAGGCUAUAUAAAGCUCAACCCGACUAUCCUCAACUAAAAAUGUUUUGGAGUGCGUGUUUUCCUUACCUAAGGCCCUUUCAGCACCAUAAGCUACAAUUUCGAUCUUAGAAGUGUGUUUUUCUCGGGUUUGGUUCUAACCAAAAAUGUUAAAAAUGCCUUACUGAAGAUGGUCGUAUGUUUUUCUCUCGUCAUGUCCUGUUUGAUGAGACACAUUUUCCGUUUCAGGUUGGCUUUCCUUUACCAACAACCUUGGCUUCUGUUAGGUUCCUUCAUCAAAGUUCUUACGUUCCUAUGGUGGCAUCGACUAGUCCUCUUUCUCCUGGUUCCUUACAUUCACUUGAAGCUCUCCCUACCCCAGCUUCAACCCAACCUCCUUCUAUCAUACGAUCUCCUAGUUUAUUACCUUCACAUAGGGAUUCUUCUACGAUGGCUAGUUCACCUACAUCCGGUGCUCCAGAUGCCAUUCCUGCAACGUCACCUUCUUCUAUCAACUGCCAUCCUAUGCGCACUCGAUUGAAGAAUGGCAUUUUUAAACCAAAACUUUUCUCCUCUACCUUGGAAGAAAAUGAGCCAUCUAACAUUACUGAGGCCUUUAAAAGUCUUGCCUGGACUACAGCUGUACAAGCAGGAUAUGAUGCCUUAAUGACCAAUAACAUAUGAGACCUUAUACCUCUACCUGCAGGCCGUUGAGGUGUUGGUUGCAAAUGGAUUUUCAAGGUUAAAAGACAUGUAGAUGGAUCAGUAGCUCGAUACAAAGGACGGUUGAUUGUUAAGGGAUAUCUAGAAGAGGCAAGUAUCGAUUUUUUAGAGACCUUCAGCCCUGUGUUCAAGCCAACAACGAACUGGGUAGUGCUGGUCCUUGCUGUUUCUCUAGGGUAGUCCCUCAGACAAGUAGACAUCAACAACGUGUUUUUGAAUGGGACUUGCAUGAGGAGAUUUAUAUGACACAGCCACCAGGAUUUGAGCAACAACGAAAUGAUGGUCAACAGCUUGUCUGCAGACUACAAAAGGCUCUUUAUGGCCUUAAACAGGCACCUCGAGCAUGGUUUUACAAACUUCGAAAGUUUUUGUUGGCUACUAAGUUUGUAGCCUCUAAAGCUGACAAUUUUCUUUUCAUUCGACGAGCAGCGUAACACCUCUUACCCGUAUUCGUCGCCGGAAUAGGGUACGAGGCAUUACCGGAGUUUACCGAAUUAAUUUUCUAUUAAUACGAGUUAAAUAUUAUUCAUUUACUAAAACAUGUCAUGGCAUCAUUUAAAUGGGCCUCCAGAGCCCAAAACAUACUUCGAGACCAAACCAGAAUUAAAUCGAAACCAUAGGGAAUUUUUCGCAAAAUCCUAAAGUUUUUUUUUUGCUCAAUAUAACCCCUUUAUAAAUAUCUAACCUUCCCUGCAAAUUUUAAAACCGAGACCAAUCCAACCAACCAAUUCAUUUCAAUCAAUUUGAUUCCAAAUUAUACUACUAUUAUAAUUAUACUAUUUAACAUAUUCAUCAUUCUUUACUUUAAUGUAUAUUUCUUAAACAAGCCUUAGUAUGUAUAUAAUCAUCAAACCUUAUGCAUGCCAUAUAAAUCAAAAAGAAAUUUACAAAAGCUACCGGAGAUAAUCUGGAUAGUGUGAUCCUCUGUGUUGAUCCGAUCCUCCGUAUACUUCCACGUCAAUCUACAAGAGACAUUGAUUACACUCAUGUAAGCUUAUAGAAGCUUAGUAAGUUCAUAGGCGUAAAGCAUAAAUCUUACCAAAUAUUUAUACACUUAUACAAUAUACACAAUUAUUAAGUUCACCUAUCAACCACAGCCAUCGGUGAAUUCCCUUGUAUAAACUUACUACCACUUAUCCAUUUCCUUUAAUUCUUUUGGGCUCAUUUGUCACAUAUCAUUCUUUAACCAAAUUAGGGAAUGGUUACGGAAAAUUGAGUACUUCACUUUCACUUUGCCAUAGUAUAACUAUGGUCUUGCGUAUGAUCACUUAUCACCUUUUGAAGUCAUAGUCCUGCCACGGUCUUACACUGAUCACAUUUAUCACUUGUCACUGAUCAGAUAAUUGUAGUUAAAACUACCACUUAUCACUUAUCACUUGUCACUGAUCAGAUAAGUGUAGCUAAAGCUACCACUUAUCACUUGUCGCUUGUCGCUUGUCACUUAUCACUUAUCACUGAUCAGAUAAGUGUAGCUGAGACUACCACUUAUCACUUGUCACUGAUCAGAAGUACUCAAAUCCGACAUUCCGCUCAAUUUAAUCAUUUAUUCGAUUUUCGUGUUGUUAUUUUAUUCUCUAUUUAUCAAUAAAUAUAUUUCAUCAUACAUAUUACAUUAUAUAAUUCAUAAAAUUAACUUAUAAUCAUUAAACUUCAACCAUAUGAACUUACCUGGGUCGAUUUGCCAAAUUUGUGAAAGUUCAGGGACUAAUCAGCUACUUUUUCUUUUCCUCGACUUGCUUCGGGUUCUAGAUCUAUCAUUGUAAAAUCAUUCACUUAUCAGUAUUAACUUCAUCUUCAACCCGCUUAUAAGUAAUAUUAUCUAUAAUUUCAUUAUUUACUUAUGUAUAUUCCAAUGCUGUCCAUCAGUGCCAUAGUCACUAAAUUAUUUUUAUCUUUAGCUACAGAACUCCAAAUUAGGAUCCACUAAUUUUAUCUGAAAUUAGACUCAUAUAUCUUCUUAUCAUAAAAUUUUUAGAAUUUUUUGUUUAGCCAAUAAGUACAGUUUAUUCUUUAAAUUCACCCCUAUUCUUCUGUCUGAUAAUUCCGACCCUUCUUCACUAAAAAUUAAUUAUCUCUUCGUACAGAAUUCAGAUGAUGUACAUGUUUGUUUCUAUUUAAAAUAGACCAUUAAGGAUUUUAAAAAUAUAAAUUUAAACCCCUAAUUAUUUUUCUCCAAUUUUUGAUGAUUUUCCAAAGUCAGAACAGGGGAACCCGAAAUCAUUCUGACAUUGUCUCACAAAAUCUAUUAUAUCUCGUGAUCUACAAUUCUGUUGCUUACACCGUUUCUUUUAUGAGAAACUAGACUCAAUAAGCUUUAAUUUCAUAUUUCUUUAAUCUUCUAAUUCGAUUUCUACAAUUUAUGGUGAUUUUUCAAAGUUAGACUACUGCUGCUGUCCAAAACUGUUUUAGUGCAAAUGUUGAUUUCGAUUUUUGCCCCAAAUUUCACAGUUCAUACAAUUCAGUCCUUGCUCAAUUAAUCCCUCAAUGAAGCUAAUUUUUCUCAAUUAAUGCUUUACCUAGACAUUAUAAGUUAUUUUACAAUUAUUUAAAUUCAUAAUUUCUACAUAAAAACCUAACUUCAAACUCUUUCACCAUUAGGUCCCAAAACAUUCACUUUCUAUUCAAUUCUUUCAAUAAAAUCAGCAUAUAAACAAUUUAAACUCUAAUUACAUGCUAAAUCAUCAUAUACUUCCAACACAUAUUCAUAAAACUUCCAAUUUCUUUCAUAGAAUCAAAAACUAAUGAAUUCAACAAGUGGACCUAGUUGUAAAAGUCAUAAAAACACAAAAAUUUCAAGAAAUAAUCAAGGAUUGAACUUACUUGCAGUAAAAAUAUGAAAAAUCAGCUUAAUAAAACCCUUCUAUGGUGUUUUUGCUGAUGAGAAUGUUGAAAAAUAAUGAGAAUUCUAGAUAAUUCCACUUUAGUCCUAGUUUAUUAAGUAAAUUUUGCAAUAUUCCAAUUUUUCCCUUAAUUCAUCAAUUUUCCUACUGAUUUCAUGCACCUUACCGUCCAGCCCAAAUAUACCUUGGGUCUAUUUGCCUUUUAAACCCUCUUUCUUUUAUCAUUUAAGCUAUUUAAUCAUUUCCUAUAAUUUUACAUUUGUUACAAUUUAAUCCUUUUUAUUCAAUUAACUAUCGAAACUUUAAAAUUUCUUAACGAAACUUUAAUACUAACUUAUUAACACUCCAUAAAUAUUUAUAAAAAUAUUUAUGGCUCGUUUUAAAAUUUUCAAACUCUCGAUAUCUCAUUUCCGAUUUUAAUUUUUAAAAUUUUUAUUUCUAGUACACUAGUCGCUAUUUCAAAAAUUUUCCUAACUUCACAUUUAACUUAUAUUCACUAAAUUAUUAAUAUUUUCUACUCAUUUGUCAGAUUUAGUGAUCUCGAAUCACUGUUCCGACACCACUGAAAAUUUAGGCUAUUACAAGCAGGAUCCCAACUACUCUAUGUUUUAGUAUAUGUUGAUGACAUAAUAAUCACUGGCAUUGACUCUUUUGGCAUUGAUCAGUUUGUCAAACACCUUGAUGUUCACUUUUCUUUCAAAGACUUGGGCCAGUUGAGCUAUUUUCUUGGAAUUGAAGUAACUCAUACUCCGAAUGGUGUUUUCUUGAGUCAGAAGAAGUACAUCUUGGACUUACUUCAACGAGCUCCCAUGGAUAGGUCGAAAGGUUCUCCUACCCCAAUAAUGACCACUUGUCAAUUGCAGCUCACGAAGGAAGCCUGAUUGAGGAUGAACGCUUAUUCAGAAGUAUUGUGGGUGCCUUACAAUAUGUGGUAAUAACAAGGCCAGACAUUGCCUUUUCUAUGAACAAGGCUUGUCAGUUUAUGCACAAACCCUUGGUUACACAUUUCAAAGCUAUCAAACGGAUUCUAAGGUACUUGCAAGGGACACUAGAUUAUGGGUUACAGUUCACCCGAACCUCAAAGUUCCUUUUUGAAGGCUAUUUCGAUGUAAGUUGGGGAUCAGACACUAAUGAUCGUCGGUCAAACUCAGGGUCUUGUGUCUUUCUUGGAGAAAAUCCAAUUUCAUGGAGCUCCAAAUUCAAACACGUUGAAUUAGACUUAUUAUUUGUCAGAGAAAAGGUUGCAAAUGGGUCUUUUUAAGUAGGUCAUGUAUUUGGACAAGCUUAGAUUGCUGAUAUCUUGACCAAGCCCUUAUCAAUAGGGUUGUUCGACAAAUUUAGAAGAAGGCUUAGAGUUGUUGCCAUAGGAGGUGAUGACAUGAAGAAGCAGGAGAAGUCGAUAAGCAUGGGGCAUGUUAUGGAAUAUAAUAAGUAUUAAUUGUAAAAGUUAGUUAAGAUAGUUAGUUAGGUUCAGUUGUUAAAUGGUUAGUCAGUUAGCUGUUAGUUAAUGACUUUCUGUAUUAAAUACUCAGAUUAUUCUUCUUUUGUAAGUGAAAUGAAGUCUGUUUACUUCUCAACUAAGUACGUUAACAGGCUGCAACAAAUAAUGUAGCUCUUUGCCUCUGAUUUUCUUGAUUCUCUCGUUGUGAUUCUUGAUUUGCGCUAUAGCCGGAUUGACAGGUAAUGAAGGAACUUUGUAGUCCUUCUCCACGACUUUCCAGAAAUCAUUUUCCUCUAGAUGAGUCUCCAUCCUUACUGCCCAAACAUGGUAACCUUUACCAUUGAAAACAUGUGGUGCAAGUGCACUGAAAGAGAUUUCUAAAUCUAUAGAAGAAGAAAGAGACAAAACAUUUCCCUUAAUUACAGGUCCCUCAAGAAAAAAGCUAUGAUACCUAUUUAUUGGAGUUUUUGAUGAAAAAUUUAUUGUAAAAAGAAAACAACAAAAGCAAAAGGAAAAUAUAAAUAAUUUUUAUGGAAAGUGUUUUCAUUUAUUAAACUGAAAACCAGUGUUUAUAUAGAAGAACAACAACUAUUGACUAAAACUAGACUAUUAAAAUAUUCAUAAUCUCUAAAAAUCAGCAACAAAUAAAAAAUUGUUAAAAUUAAUUAGAUUAUUUUGUUAUAGUAAGUGAAGUAAAUCUUCAACAUCAUUAUUGGUGCUUCAUUUGCUCAUUUUAUGAGUGGGGUAUGAAUUUCAGAGGGCAUGCAAAAAGAAAAGGAAGAAGAAAGAAAGAAAAUUACAAAAAAAAAAGAAGAAAAAGGAAAGGUUAUGACACCAUGCAUUUGGGCUUUCAAAUCUUUACAAACAUAAGAGUAGUAGUUCUAACUAUCUUUCAUGAGGGUAACUUUUCUACGAAAAUAUCCAGGCAUGAGGUGAUAAAUGACUUUCUUUCACUGUCCCAUCACUUUAAGAAAUUAUCAUUAGUUAUCUUAUUUUGAGCUUCAUCGAAUUUUCUUACGAAAAAACUCAGUCCAUAGUUAGAUCAACUUGUAAAUAGAUCGAACACCAAUUUUAUAGUGAAAAUAUAGGAGAAAAUUCAAUCGAAGUUAAACUCCAACAGUUGCCACUAUCUAGUUUCAUAGAACUCGCCACCACGAUAAACAACUUCCAUCACGCAAAAAGCUAAGGCAAGGUGGCUUUUGUCCAGUUUACAGGGUAAUAAACAAUGGUGGUGAUUUCCAGAAAAUACAUGAUCGAUGAAAUGACAUUUUCUUUCUACCAAGUCUUAUGAACCAAAUUUUGUGUGCUGGGAACAUUAGAUGAUGAAAAGGAAAGAGCAUUUAAGAGAUUGUCAAAAGGUUUGGGGUAAGGGUUGGAAGGAUUUAUGAAUAAAGUGGUGAUUUCAAAGCUCCAACAUCCAAAUCUGGCUAGAUUAUUUGGGUGUUGUGUUGACGGAGAAGAGAAGAUGCUGAUCUAUGAGUACAUGCCUAACAAAAGUUUGGACGCGUUUCUCUUUGGUUAGUAACUUAUUCUAAUCUUUUUUAUUAGUGAUUUUUUGGUACUCGAUCGUUAUAUUGGACCUCAAUUAAAUUUAGAGUUCAAUUAAGUUAAACUCUACACGAGAGGUAAAGUUCUUCGAGAAUUAUUUUUUUCAUCCACAAUACUUGAAUUUAUGUUGUUGUUUAAAGAGAAUUAAGCUUAUAGGUUCAUACAGACAACAGACCGAGUUCGAUUCAGGGGAAUACAUUUCCCUACGGCUAUACGGAGAUGAAAACCUCACGAAGACGCAGGUACAGAUGUAUCCCGAAAGCGAUCCACUAUCCUAUACGGAGGUGAAGACCUCACGAAGGAAUAGUUUCUUACUUCCACUUAAGAGGGUGAAGUUGACCGGUAAUGCAAUACGAUAUGCAAAGAUACAUCAAAUAUUUAAACUACUUAAAGCAUCAUAUUAUGAAGAAAGCCACGAAAGUAACAGACAACAGGUAAUGCAAAAAACCAAUUUUUAAUUUUUGACGAAAGACAAUAAAUAAUCAAUUUAAGGCUCGACUCUCGAUUUCCCCAGUGGAGUCGCCAAGGUGUCGAAACCAUUUUUUUGAAAACGGGAAUCGACUUGGUUUGAAAGCGAAAAUUAAAACGGGAGUCGCCACCGAUCUUUAUUAGGUGUGAUCGGAUCACCUUUGUUUUAAUAAAACAAUUUUUAGUUUACUAAAACGGUAUUUUUAAUCUACGAAACUCGAGAGAAUGAGUUCGGAAGGAUUAGCACCCCCGACACGCCCAAAAAUUGGUACCGAAUUGAUUAGUUAGUGUCUUAAUGUCGAAAAUUAAAAAUCGGGAAUGGGUUUGAAAUACGAUCUUUUCUAUUAAUAAAUGAUUUUAAAAUUCUCGAAUUAGCUUAAAUCGAUUGUUUAAAGAUUUCCUUAUCUCGAGAUAUCGGAGUAUCACAUCCCGUAAGUUACGACACAAUACCAUGAAUUCUCGAGCACAAGGUCGUCUUUCAAUUUAAAUGAGAAUUUCAUGUGUUUUGAAACUCGAAAAGGAUAUUUAGCUAUUUAGAACCAACGAGAGAAUUGAAACCCUGUAAGUUAGGGCACAAUUCUUCGAUGUUCCAAAAUGCGAAACAUUGCCUUAUUUUGAAAUUUUUAUAUAUAUUUUUUAAUAGUAGCGAAUUUGAUAUUUAAACGACGUGUUAUUCGUUCGGAUUCACAUAAAACAAUUUAUUGGAUGAAUAUAACGAGGCUUGAUUUAUGGGGUGAUGAUAUGAAAUGAAGGUGUAAUGCGACAUAGAAUGAUGAAUACAAAUAAACGAAUCAUGCAAUGGCAGUAAUCGCACUAACAUUAAUAAUCAAAGAUAAAUGAAUUAAAUAAUCAAAAAAGAUAAUAAAUAGCAUAAAGUUAAUUAAAAUGGAUAAGACGUAAAAAGAAACGAAACUAAAAGGAUGAUAAAUGAGUUUUAAAUAAAUAAAUAAAUAAUAUGCAAAAAGAAUUUUUAAAGAAAGAUCAACCAUAUACAAAAUAAUUUUAAAAGAUUAUAAUAAGGUUAAAGUAGAAGAAUCUUGAAGUAAAUAAUAAUAAAACAUUCCAAAAUAAAUAAAUAGGGUUUUAAAAUAAAGUAUAUAUAUAACGACUUAAAACAAGUAAUGAAAACUGUUGCGGAAAGGAUCGAUUCGUGAACUCCGAUAUGACUACAAGUAAAUUGACCGAAACGAAAAAUAAAGUGAACACAAGGAUUUACGUGGUUCGGCUUUAAUGCCUACGUCCACGGGCAGAGGCGAAAAGAAAUUUCACUAUAACAAGAUGAAGAUUACAAGUGUUUUACACUCAAGACACAACCCGAGAACCUCACAACUCUCAACCCCUAUAGAAAACCCGAAAGCUAAAAUCCUAGCUUUCAAAGAACAAGCUUUGCUCUCUCUUGGUUUGGGAUGAUUAAUAUGGCUAAUGAACCUCUCUAUUUAUAAGAGAGUUCAAGGACAUAAUUGUCCAAAACUUUGGCAAAGAUUUGUGGUUGAAAAUGGACACCAACAACCAUCCACUAAUCCACUACCACCAACAACCCACUACCAACAACAACAAUCCACUACCAAUUUUAAGCCAUUUCUUAACAAAUCUCCACCUUGGCUUGAAAUUUACCAAGCUGAACAUCAUAGUGAAUUCCUCGAACUGGAUCACCUCUUCCAAACGCCUCUCUGGCGCUAAUCAAUCCCGAAUACCUAUCAAGUCCAAGCAAUGCUUGAACUUAUAUGCAGGGAUCACCUUAGUUAACAUAUCUGCAGGAUUCUUCUCGGUAGCAACCUUGCUGAUAACAAUGUCACCUUGCGUAACAUGUUCCCGAACAAAAUGAUAUCUGACAUCAAUGUGUUUGGUCCGUUCAUGAAACAUCUGAUUUUUAGUCAGAUGUAUGGCACUCUGGCUAUCGCAAAAUACAACAGUGAAAUCCUGUUGUAAACCCAAACUGCUUACUAGACCUUUCAUCCACAAUGCUUCUUUCACUGCUUCUGCUAACGCCAUAUAUUCCGCCUCAGUCGUAGAUAAGGCUACGGUAGACUGUAACACAGCUUUCCAACUAAUGGCUCCUCCAGAAUAAGUGAAAACAUAACCCGUCAGAGAUCUUCUUUUGUCCAGAUCUCCAGCAUAAUCAGAGUCCACAUAGCCCGUGACACUGCUAGUGCAGUCACUCUGAUCAUAUACCAAGCAUAAAUCUGCAGAACCUCUCAAGUACCUGAGAAUCCAUUUCACGGCCUGCCAGUGUUCCUUGCCAGGACAACUCAUGUAUCUGCUGACCACACUAACUGCAUGUGAAAUGUCUGGACGAGUGCAAACCAUUGCAUACAUCACGCUUCCAACUGCACUCGAGUAUGGAAUGUGAGACAUUUGCUGCUUUUCUUCAUCAGAUUGUGGUGACAACUCUGCAGAGAGUUUGAAAUGUGGUGCCAACGGAGUACUCACAGUUUUCGCUUUAUCCAUGCCGAAGCGUUGAAGAACCUUUUCAAUGUAGUUCUUCUGCGACACACGAAGCUUGCCCGCCUUGCGAUCUCUGUGAAUAUCCAUGCCCAAAAUUUUCUUGGCAGCACCCAGAUCCUUCAUCUCGAACUCACCACUCAACUGCGACUUUAACUUGUUGAUUUCCGACAUGUUUUUGGAAGCAAUUAACAUGUCAUCAACAUACAGCAACAAAUAAAUGUGCGAACCAUCUGAGAGCUUCCGAUGAUAGACACAAGCAUCAUAGUCACAUCUUGUGUAACCAUGCUGAAUCAUGAAGCUAUCAAACCGCUUGUACCACUGCCUUGGGGAUUGUUUCAAUCCAUAUAAAGACUUCUUUAAUAGACAGACAUGGUCUUCUUUACCAGGAACUGUAAAACCCUCUGGUUGACGCAUGUAGAUUGUUUCCUCGAGCUCACCAUGCAAGAACGCCGUUUUUACGUCAAGCUGCUCAAGUUCUAGAUCAGACUUGGCCACCAUGGCAAGUAAUACACGAAUGGAAGAAUGCUUUACGACUGGGGAGAAAACUUCAUUGUAGUCAAUCCCCUCUUUCUGAGUGAAGCCUUUAGCAACCAAUCGUGCCUUGAAUCUAGUUGCUUCAACCCCUAGGAUGCCUUCCUUUUUCUUGAAGACCCAUUUGCAACCAACUAUCUUCUGGUUACUUGGCGGCUUAACCAACUCCCAAGUAUGGUUCUUGUGAAGAGAUUCUAUCUCCUCACUCAUAGCAAUUGCCCACUGUGCCGACUCAUCACACGUGACAGCCUCAUUAUAACUGGAAGGUUCUAUACCAAUGGACUCCGCCACACUGAGCGCGAAAGACACCAGAUUAGCGUAACGCGGAUUUGGUUUGAUUUGUCUCUUCGUUCUUCCAGUGGCAAUGCUAUAUGGUUUUUCUUGAGGUGACUCAUCUUCAUCGGAAUCUUGCACCUCAACUUGAUCAUCCUGGACUGAAGUACCUUCCGUAGGAAUUGGAGCGUCCACCUGACACUCCACCUGCUUCUCAACACCGUGAUCUCCCAUUCUAUCUGACUCCUCCUUUUCCCGGGAAUUUGUGGUGGAUCGAAGCAUGGAUGACUCAUCAAAAGUCACAUCUCUGCUGAUGAUGAACUUGGACGAAACCGGAUCAGGACACCACAACCUGUAUCCUUUCACCCCUUGGCCGUAUCCAAGAAAUAUGCAUUUCUUCGCCCUCGGUUUGAGUUUUCCCUCAUUUACAUGAGCAUACGCAGGGCAGCCAAACACUCUUAAACCAGAGUAAUCAGCAGGAGAACCAGACCAUACUUCCUCAGGAGUCUUCAGCUCAAUAGCUGUUGACGGAGAUCUGUUAACCAAAUAACAAGCAGUAUUAACAGCUUCAGCCCAAAAUUCUUCACCGAGCCCAGCAUUUGAUCGCAUGCAACGAGCUCGCUCCAAGAGAGUUCUAUUCAUGCGUUCUGCAACUCCAUUUUGUUGUGGUGUUCGACGAACAGUGCGGUGUCUCACUAUUCCUUCAUUUUUGCAGAACUCAUUGAAUUCACCUGAGCAAAACUCCAAGCCAUUAUCCGUCCGGAAUCGCUUGAUCUUCUUUCCUGUUUGAUUUUCGAUCAAAGCUUUAAAUUGCUUGAAGUUGAUGAGAACCUCAUACUUGCUCUUCAGAAAAUACACCCAAACCUUUCUCGAGUAAUCAUCGAUAAAGGUAAGCAGAUAUCUGUAACCACCUUUAGAAAUUGUCGGAGAAGGCCCCCAAAGGUCAGAAUGGAAGUAAUCCACUGUGCCUUUUGUCUUGUGAAUCCCAGUGCUGAACUUUACCCGAGUCUGCUUACCGAAGACGCAGUGCUCACAGAAAUUCAACUUUCCUGUACACUGCCCAGACAAUAAUCCUCGUUUGCUUAGCACCGAUAAGCCUCUCUCGCUCAUAUGCCCGAGCCGCAUAUGCCAUAACUUCGUGGUGUCAGAAUCUAGAUCAUCUGAUGAUGACACUCCCGCAACACCUGUAACCGAGGAACCAUCGAGGAAGUAAAGGCCCCGCUCCAAAUUACCACGUAUCACAGUCAAAGCACCCGAGAAUACCUUGAGAACUCCACCUUCAGCAGAGUACCGAAAGCCUUUCUUGUCCAACGUACUCAAAGAGAUCAAAUUUUUCUUCAUUUCUGGAAUGUGCCGAACAUCAGUUAGAGUUCUAACAAUACCGUCAAACAUCUUUAUACGAACUGUGCCAAUCCCCAUGACUUGACAUGCGUGGUCAUUUCCCAUUAGUACUGAACCAGAAUGCUUCUCGUAUGUUGAGAAUGCAUCUUUCGAAGUACUUAUAUGAAAUGUAGCUCCCGUAUCAAGAAUCCAUCUCCCACCAGCGUAAGAGUCGGAUACUGCAAGAACGAUCUCGGCAUCACUUGAAGAAUCUGCAUCAGCUACAUUCGCACGAUCAUUUUGUUGCUCCUGUGAUUCUGAUUUCUCCUUCCUUUUCGGACAAUCUACCUUCAUGUGCCCGUACUUCUUACAGUAGUAGCACUGUAUUCUCUUCUUGGACUGCGAUCUAGGAUGGCUUUUACUUGAACUUCCACCCUUUGCCUUGGAUCUUCCUCGAGCAACCAAGCCUUCGCCUUCAUUGUUUUCGACCACCUUACCAGUGAUUUUCUUCCUCAACUCACUGGAACUUAAGGCAUUUUUCACCUCCUCUAGAGUCAGGUCAUCACGACCGUACAUCAUUGUAUCAACAAAAUUCUCAUACGAGGGAGGCAAAGAACACAAAACAAUUAUUGCUUGGUCCUCAUCAUCGAUUUUGUUAUCGAUAUUAUUCAAAUCCAUGAUAAUGGAAUUGAAUUUAUCCAGGUGCUGGGAAACAGGUGUACCUUCCUCCAUCUUCAGGGCAUAGAGUCUUUGCUUGAGGUAGAGCCGGUUCGUCAAUGACUUCGUCAUGUACUUGCUCUCUAACCGGAGCCACAAACCGGACGCGGUUUUCUCAUCCGCUACUUCUCGUAGCACUUCAUCUCCUAGACAUAGCAGAAUAGCACUAUGUGCUCUUUCUAGCAUGUCAUCCUUUUGCUCUUCCGAAAGCGUGCUUGGUAAUUUAUCUUUACCAGACAAUGCUUUUAGCAAUCCUUGUUGAACCAGCACUGCCCGCAUCUUGAUGCGCCAUAAACUGAAACUAUUUUUCCCGGUAAAUUUCUCGACAUCAUACUUAGUCGAUGAAACACUUGUAGCCAUAAUUUGGAACCUUUGAAUGAAUGAUAAUAUUUUCUUCCUGAUGUGAAAGAUCAGACAAAGCUGCAGUCACAGGGCAAUUCAGAAAAUAUUAUCACUCCUUCAACUACGCUCUGAUACCAAUUUGUUGCGGAAAGGAUCGAUUCGUGAACUCCGAUAUGACUACAAGUAAAUUGACCGAAACGAAAAAUAAAGUGAACACAAGGAUUUACGUGGUUCGGCUUUAAUGCCUACGUCCACGGGCAGAGGCGAAAAGAAAUUUCACUAUAACAAGAUGAAGAUUACAAGUGUUUUACACUCAAGACACAACCCGAGAACCUCACAACUCUCAACCCCUAUAGAAAACCCGAAAGCUAAAAUCCUAGCUUUCAAAGAACAAGCUUUGCUCUCUCUUGGUUUGGGAUGAUUAAUAUGGCUAAUGAACCUCUCUAUUUAUAAGAGAGUUCAAGGACAUAAUUGUCCAAAACUUUGGCAAAGAUUUGUGGUUGAAAAUGGACACCAACAACCAUCCACUAAUCCACUACCACCAACAACCCACUACCAACAACAACAAUCCACUACCAAUUUUAAGCCAUUUCUUAACAAAAACAAUAAUUCAUAAAAGCAAGUUAAAAAUAGUUUAUAAAGCAAAUUUAGAGUGAAUAAUAUAAAAUAACUUAAGAUAGUUGAUAUAUGAUUCCAAUUUAAAAUAGAAUAAAAUUAAGUAAAUAGUUUUUUUUUAAAAAAAAAAAAUUAAAACAACAUAUGAAAACUUAAAAUAAAUGAUAUGUGGAUAAAGAGCUUUAAAAUAAAUAAUCUAUAAAUCCGGUCUUAACAAAAGUAAUAGAAAAAGAGUUUCGAAUAAAUAAAAUAUAUGGAGAAUAAGGAUAAAUGAUGCUUAAGUGGUUUAAAAUAAAUAAGUGUAUAAGAAUGAUUCGAAACGAAUAAAUAAAUAAGAAUCUCAAAUAAAUAUUAUAGACAAACUUGAAGUAAAUAAUAAUAAAACAGUUUGAAAUAAACUAUAACUACAUAAUAUAUAUAAAUUUAAAAUAUAUGAUAUGUAAAACUUUAAAAUAACUGGUAUAUAUAUAUAUAUAUAUAUAAGAUAAUUUGAAGUAAUAUAUAAUAAAACCGUUUAAAGUAGCUAAUUAAGAAACUAUACUCAUAACCUAAAAUAAUAUACAAUAACAAUUUGUAAAGAAUACCAUAAAUCAGUUUUAAAUAAAUGGUUCAUAUAAAAGAUCUAAUUGUUUGACAGAAUACAUGUUUUUCUAAAGAAUAAGCAAGCAAAAUAUGCCAAAUAGUUUGACAUUAGAAGGUUUAUGACCAAAUUUAAAACAAAAUUAAAUUAAAGGGACAAAUUUAAAAGAGAAAGGACCCGAAUAGAAUGCAUGCAAAGAAAGAGGGACUUAUAAGGAGAAUAUCCCCGCCCUUAUACGCUUUAUAUCAUGCAGGACCAAAAUGCGACUAGUGUAAAAUCCAUGGGGCCAAAUUAAAGCGCAAUGUUGAAAGCGGGCAGUAAAACUGAAGGACCCAUAGUGCAAAUGCCCCACUUUUGCCUUGAAAACAACUCUGCCGUUCCAUGUUUUUUAUUAAGGCCAAUUUUCAUCUUUUUUUUUUUUUUUUUUUAGAAAGAAACAGAGAGUUCUUUUAACUCUCUUCCUCUCCCUUUUCCUUUGGCCAAAGGGCCACGACCGUCCGUCGCACCACCGCACCACAAAUCCGGUGACCGGUGAUGCUCAAGAAGGGACCUUUAGCCCCCUUUCGAACAGAUCCGAGGAUGAACCCCUCCAUGCCCGCGAAAAUCGAAAGAAAAAAGGCCCACUUUCACUCCUUUCAUGCCCGAUUCCGACCGUGGAAAGAAACUUCGGACGACGGGCCACGAGGUAACUCAGGUGAGCCUUUCCCUUUUCUUUUAUUCUUUAUGCCCACUUUUGUUUAAUAGAUUUGUAAGUAUAGAUAAAAAAGAAAUUGAAAAGGAAUUCAAACGAAAAAAAAAAAAACAGAGAAGAUAAACUCGAAUAUCAACCUUUUGUAUAUAUUUUUUGAUUGCUGGUGUUCGUUCUUUUUUUCCCUUUUUCUUUUUACAAAAUUUCUCCCUUCGGUUUUAUAACCGAUUAUAAUAACAAUAAAAAAAAUGCUCCCAUUCCUCUGUUGCGGCUGCUGUUUUUGUUGUUUGUGUUUGCAGGGUAUGGGUGUGUCAGACGCAUGGAGGGAGCAUAUGCCGGUGGUGGUGCGCGAGGCGGCCAUUGGUUGGCCGAGUGUGCUGCUGAGGCUUGAGGGCUGCUGCUGUUUUCUCUUCUCUGCAGGGGGCUCGGAUUUGGGCUUUAGGGUUUGUAUUUAAUUAGGUUUGGUCUUUUAGUUUGGGCCGGGCAUAAUUGGGCUUGUACACAGUUCAUAUAUAUUAGGUCUUUAAUAUAAUUUUUUUAAAAAUGUUAGGCAAGGAAAAGCACUAACUUAUGCCAUAUAAGUAUAUAUUGUAAUUGGUAAGAGACUUUUUUUUUCCCUUAACAAGACUCGGUCAUUGUUAAAAGAAUAAUCCAGAAAAUAAUUUUCAAAAAAAAUAUCAUGUGCUUCACUAGUCAAAGUUAUUCAAAUGAAAGAGUCUAAAUUCAUCGGUUUCACAACAGCUACCUAUACUAAUCAAAGUUAUUUAAAUGACGUCUUGGUCUGUAACUUCUGGAAGUUCAAACCUCAAUAAAUUUUAUGAAUAAAUUUUUUUACCAAAUUAAUUAUGGGAGUUUAAAAUUAUCUAGUGAUUCAAUUUUUAGGUUAUUUUCAUUUUGUUCAAUCAAAAUGAAAUUUUUACAACUUUGUUAUUCAAUUUUUAGGAUAGUUUAUUUUAGUCACCAAACCAUUAAAUUUUUAACGAUAAUUAAUUGUACAUAUAACAUUAUGUUUAUAUUUUUAUUUUGGUCACUCAAAUUUUAAAUUAUUUUCAUUUUAAUCAUCUAAAAAAUAUAUUUUUGAAUAUUGAUCGGGAUAAAAAUUAUUAAGAAUUAAAGUGAAAAAGUAGUAGAAACUAAAAUAAUGUUUUAAAAAUUUUAAAUGACUUAUUUAAUUAAUUUUAAUAUUUAAGAAUAUAAAAUUUCAAUAAGAGGUAAAUUAAUAUAAUUUGAUAAUUUUUAAAGUAUUACUUUUUCACUUUAAUGUUUAAUGUGAUGCAAUAAAAAAAAUAAAGAGGUGCUUAGUGCUCCAAGAAAAUUCAAAACUUGAUGUAAACAUUUGAAGAAAAUUGAGUUGAGUUCAUCUCGUGUAAAUCCUGAAAGAUUCCAAAUAUCAUUCAUAAAUCAUAGCGUCACUUCCAAGUUCUGGGUAGAGAUUAUGGGAAAAACUAUUAGCUGCUCUGUUUUACUAUCUUUAAUGUCUUGCUUUUACUUGCUAUUUGCCACUGCUUUAGACACCAUAACACCAUCAAAAUCCAUCAAAGACCCUGAAUUUAUAAUCUCCCGGAAUGGUACUUUCCGAUUGGGAUUCUUCAGCUUGGCUAACUCCAGCAAUCGUUAUGUGGGGAUAUUGUACCAUCAAAUCCCCGUACAAACUGUUGUAUGAGUGGCAAAUAGAAACAGGCCUCUCAAAGACUCUUCUGGGAUUCUCAACAUAUCAGAUGAUGGCAACCUUGUUGUUUUGAAUGGCAAAACUGAGACUCUCUGGUCAUCAAAUGUUACCAAUACAGCUCCUAAUGCAACAACUGCCCAGCUUUCAGACUUAGGAAACCUCGUCCUCAGUAAUGGUGACUUAGGAAACAUCCUUGUAAUGUAUUCCUUCAAACUAUGAAGAUUGGCGUUGAUAUAAAAAUGGGUAGUAAAGUGGAGCUGAAAUCAUGGAAAAGCCAUGAUCCAUCUGAUGGUUACUUUUCUUUUGGUAUUAAACCCUUCAAUAUCCCAGAGUUUGUCAUUUGGAACAAUAACCAGCUCUAUUUUUGUAGUGGUCCAUGGAAUGGAAAUAUGUUUAUGGGCUUAAUACUUCCGACCGUCCGCUUUCUCUUGGUUUUCUGUUGUUCCAGAUAAUCAACAACAAACGUUUUAUAUAGGUUAUGAAGAUUCUAAUCACUCUAUGUUGACAUACUGUGAAUUAGAUUCUCAAGGUAAACUCAAUGAACGGAGAUGGGAUGCGGGGAAAGGGAACUGGAUAAAGAGUUACUCUAUUUAUCAUACAGAUUGUGAUGUUUUAUGGGAAGUGUGGGGAAUUUGGGAUAUGCAAUUCAACGAAACGACCCAUUUGCAGUUGCUUAAAGGGGUCUAAGCCUAGGAAUGCAGAGGAAUGGAGUAGAGGUAAUUGGAGUAGCGGGUGUUUUAGGACUACCCCUUUGCAGUGCCAAAGGGAUAACAACAAUGGGAGUGGAGCAGGCCAAGGUGAUGAUAGGUUUUUGGAGAUGAAGAUGAUAAAAGUGCCCGCAUUUCCAGACCGGUCAUCAAUAGUUAACGGCCAAUGCAAAGAUCAAUGCUUGAAGAAUUGUUCGUGCGUGGCUUAUACGUAUGAUUCCGGCAUUGGUUGCAUGAUGUGGAGUGGAGAUUUGAUUGAUGUCCAGGAAUCCAGUCGCGGAGUCGAUCUUUACAUCCGUCUGCCAGCUUCGGAACUGAUUAAAUUUUCUUAGUGUCGACCAUGUGUUUGAUAAAUUGCGUUAAUAUCUGCUUUUUGAGUGUUGAAGUUAUUAACCAAGUUUUUCUAUUUGCAGAUAAAGGGAAAAGUAGUAAGGUCAUUGUCAUUACAACAGUAAUUGCAGGCAUAGUAGUUAUCACAAUUUCUGCACUCUUCUUACGGUGUAGGAUGCUUAAACAUAAAGGUAAUAUAUGAAAAAUAUUUAAACAUAUAUAUAAUUUAUUAAAAUAUAAAAAAUUAGAAUAUAAAAUUAUAUGUGAAAAAUAUUUAAAAAUAUCAAUAAAUUUGAAAUGUAUAUUGAAACAUGCUGGUAUUAGUACAUACUAAUAUCGUUAUAUACUAUUGUCAAGACAACAACAAUAUGUCCACCGAUAUGAUAUUAACUACUUUGUUUCUAUAUCAAGAAGAAAUAAAAAGCAAAAACACAUCAAACACCAAUUUUGUGGUGAAAAUAUAGGAGAAAAUUCAAUUGGAGUUAAACUCCAGUAGUUGCCAGUAUUCAAUUUUGAAGAACUUGGUGUUGGGGAUUUUUGGAGGAGCAGAGGAAGAAAUACAGGACAGAACAAGGCAGUAUUUUUACUUGCUCACAAAUGUGCAGUAAGGGAGCUAUGGCUUCAGCUCAUUUUGCUCAUUCAUUCAACUAGAAAAACAAUACAUUUAUAGCUAAAAAAUAUCACCAAAUACUACCUAUUACCACUAAGUAGCCUAGUAAAUUGAUAAACAUAACUUGCACACAUGGUAAAACUGAUUUAUCAAUCUUUCAGCACUUAAUUACAUAAAAAAUGUUACCAACUUAGUUCAAAUCAAACUAAGCAACAAAACAUUAGCUGAAAGUAACAAAACAACAGCAUAUGCUCCAGCUGCAACAUGCAAGGCUGGGGCAGCUUCCCCUACUUCUUGGUCUGCAUGGAAGCCAACUUCAACACUCCUCCUUGGCUUUCAUGUUGCAAAUACCAAUCAUUCAUCAAGUUUUUUUUUAACUUGGCAGUCCUUAGAUGCUUUGUUUCAAGCUGAACUUGCUCAAGCAAUACAUUUUCAACCUUGACCUCAUUUUCAACCAAAUCUUGACUCACACAAUUUGACCAUACCAGUCUUUUGUGGCAAAGAUUUGUUCAUCAAAUGGAGUAUUCUCCUCCUUCACAGCCUUGGUUGGUAUUACCAUUCAAACACAUCCUGCCUUGUUUUCCCUUGCUAAUUACAGUCCUGUUUUUUCUUGCUUCCACAUGUUGCUGAGGUCGCACCUUUGACAGAUUCGCAUCUUUGCAUACUGUCUUCAGCAGGUGUCUUCAACAGGCUCGCAACUAUUGGUGAGCUCGCACUUUUGAUAAGCUCACAGCUCUCAUUUCUCGCUAAGCUUGCAGCUUGCACAUUGGAAAGCUCACAUUCUUUCCUUGAAGCUCCUCCUUCAGCUUAUUCAAGCUUGUUUGGGAGUCUUUAAGGUUGAGCUGAUGUUGUCUUCUCUUCAAGCAGUUCUUGAUGACAUGCUUUGACAACUUCUUUCUUUUAACAAGCAGCGGGAGCAAAAAUCAAUAGCCCUUAAGACUAAGGCUCAUGAUACCAAUUGUUGGCGAUUUUUAGAGGAGGAGCAGAGGAAGAAAUACAGGACAGAACAAGGCAAUAUUUUUACUUGCUCCCAAAUGUGCAGCAAGGGAGCUAUGGCUUCAGCUCAUUUUGCUCACUCAUUCAACUAGAAAAACAAUACAUUUAUAGCUAAAAACUAUCACCAAAUACUACCUACUACCACUAAGUAGCCUAGUAAAUUGAUAAACAUAACUUGCACACAUGGUAAAGCUGAUUUAUGAAUCUAUCAGCACUAAUUACAUCAAACAUGUUACCAACUUAGUUCAAACCAAACUAAGCAACAAAACAUUAGCUGAAAGUAACAACAAAACAGUAGCAUAUGCUCCAGCUGCAACAUGCAAGGCUUGGGCAGCUUCCCCUGCUUCUUGGUCUGCAUGGAAGCCAACUUCAACACUUGGCAUCGCGACAAACAACUUCAAUCCUGCGAAAAAGCUAGGGUAGGGUGGUUCCGGUACAGUUUACAGGGUAAUAAAUAAUAGCAAUUUUCAGCAAAUCCAGUCUCAAUGAAAUGACAUUGUCUUUUUUUUCUAUCAAGUUUUGUGAGUUGAAUUUUUUGUGCAGGGAACACUAGAUGAUGGAAAGGAAAUAGAAGUAAAGAGAUUGUCGAAAGAUUCGGGGCAAGGAUUGGAAGAAUUUAUGAAUGAAGUGGUGGUGAUCUCUAAGCUUCAACAUCGAAAUUUGGUAAGAUUGCUUGGCUGUUGUGUUGAAGGAGAAGAGAAUAUGCUCGUCUAUGAAUAUACGGCCAACAAAAGUUUGGACGCUUUUCUCUUUGGUUAGUAACUUAUUCGAUUCCUUUUUUACUUUUUUGUUAUUUUUCGUUAUUCAAUAGUUAUAUUGGACCCUAAACAAGGGGCAAAGCUUUCCUAGAACUAUUUUCUUCAUCCACAAGACUUGAGCUUGUGUUGUUACUUAAGGGGAAUUGAGUUCCUUAUCACUCGAUCCAAUAAGCAUUAAUAUCGUUUUCCUUCUCAUUACAACUUAAACUUGGCCUCGACUACCCCAUCUACCUAAUCUGAUAAGUUCGACUCAUUUGAUUUUAGAGGUGUAACCCAUAUAGAUUAGAUAUUGGAUAUAAUUUUCUUGAAAAGUUUUCAAAAAUGAAGAAACAUAAUUUCCCAUUGAAAAAGUGUUGCGCGGAAGCGUGUGCAAGAGUAAAAAUAUUGUACUGAAAAAUCACACUAAGUUCAAUUCCCAGGAAAGAGAGGUAGAUCACGAAGAUCACUUAAAUACCAAGUCUUUCCUAGCCAGAAUAUCCCUCUAUCGUAAUUUAAUAGCACAAUAAAUCACUACAAUCACAUUCACAAAAUAUGUAAAAUAAAUAAUAAAGAACACCAGAAUUUUAACGAGGUUCAGCAAAUUUUGCCUACGUCCUCGGGCACUACCAAAUAUAUUUCACUCCAAAAAUUACAAGUGAAAUUUACAAAUAGGGAGAGAGAAUAAUGCCUUAAGUAGAGAAUGGCAAUUAUGGGAUGAAGAAAGUAAGAAAUGGUUAGGCCUAUUUAUAGUUGAGGUUCAAGGAUCAACUUGCAAUGUCCCUAUACAAUUAGGGACCAAAAUUGCAAUUAUCCCAUGCCAACUUUUAACCCAACUUGCCAACCAAUCUUACUUUCUACUUUCGGUGCCCACCCUUUUUGACUUUUCAAACAAUGGGUGGGUUCCAAUAAUCUCCACCUUGAAGAUUUGAUUAGGAUAAUCUUAUCUUCACACAAUUCUUUCUGCCUUUGACAACAAUACUUGAUAGUGCCUUCUUCAACUGUUAAACUUGCAGGAUAUUAAUCAAGUUCAAACAAUGUUCAAACUUGGUUACUGUUACCACCUUGGUCAUCAUAUCUACGGGAUUAUCUGCAGUCUUGAUCUUCUGAAGACAAAUUUUCCCCUCAUCAAUAAUUUCCCGCACAAAGUGGAAACGUACGUCAAUAUGCUUUGUACGUGCAUGAUAAACUUGAUUCUUUGCUAAAUGAAUAGCACUUUGACUAUCACAAUACACGUUAAUAUGCUCCUGGACCAAUCCCAAGGUUUUAGUCAUACCUUGUAACCAAAUAGCCUCCUUUACAGCCUCUGUUACAGCCAUGUACUCAGCUUCUGUGGUUGACAACGCAACUGUAGACUGUAGUGUAGACUUCUAACUUAUUGGUCCUCCAGCAAGUGUAAAUACAUAACCGGUGGUUAAUCUUCUCUUGUCCAAAUCACCGGCAUAGUCAGAAUCAAUGUACCCAAUAACACCUUUACCAAGUGUAUUAUCCUGCUUGAACAGUAAUCCAACAUCCAUGGUCUUCUGAAUAUACCGUAGAAUCCAUUUCACAACUUGCCAAUGUCUUUUUCCAGGAUUAUGCAUAUACCUGCUCACUAUACUAACUGCUUGUGAAAUGUUGGGUCUUGUACACACCAUUGCAUCCAUCAAGCUACCCACUGUAUUAGAAUACGGAACUUGCAACAUGUAUUCUCGUUCUGUAUUCGUCGAAGGAGAUAGUUGUGCAGAAAGCUUGAAAUGAGAAGCCAACGGGGUACUUACAGGUUUUGUCUGUUCGUUCAUGCCAAACUAUUGUAGUACCUUUUUCAAAUACUACUUCUGAGACAAGCUAACUCUAUCAUGAGCUCUAUCUCUCCAUAUUUCCAUGCCGAGAUUUUUAGCUUCUCCUAGAUCUUUCAUCUCAAACUUGAGAUUGAGUUGAGUCUUCAAUCUUUCAAUAUCAAUUUUGCUCUUAGAUGCUAUUAGCAUAUCAUCAACAUAUAAGAGCAAGUAUAUGAAAGUUCCUUCUUGUAGCUUCUGAAAAUACACGCAAUGAUCAAAUUUACUUCUUGUGUACCUUUGCCCUUUCAUGAACUGAUCAAAUCGCUUGUACCACUGCCUCGGAGAUUACUUCAAUCCAUAAAGUGACUUUUUCAGUUUGCAAACCCAAUUUUCUUUUCCAGCAACAUUGAAUCCAUCUGGCUGAGUCAUAUAGAUUUCCUCUUCCAAAUUACCGUGUAAAAACGCAGUCUUCACAUCAAGUUGAACUAGUUCGAGAUCAUAUUGCGCAACCAAGGCUAGCAAAAUCCGUAUAGAUGAAUGCUUCACAACUGGAGAAAACACUUCAUUAUAGUCUAUUCUUUCUUUCUGAGCAUAACCCUUUGCUACCAAUCUAGCCUUGUAUCGAAUUUUAUUUUUACCAGGAAAUCCUUCCUUCUUUACAUAUACCCAUUUGCAUCCAAUUUCCUUCUUUCCCUUGGGUAGUGUCACCAACUCCCAGGUCCUAUUUUUAUGAAGAGACUGCAUUUCUUCAUUCAUUGCUUGCUUCCACUUUACACCACCAGGGUUACUUAUUGCUUCUGUGUAAGUAGAAGGAAUAUCAUCAUCUGUAAUUGGAAGUGUAUAGGCCACUAUAUCAUCAAAGCGAGCAGGCUUACGAAUCUCUCUUCUUGGCCUCCUAUAUGCAAUUGAAUCUUGUUGAUGUAGAGGUUCUUGGGUAGGAACCUCUUCAUCAUUUGUCCCUUCAAUAUUAGCUGGAUCAUCGUUAACCUUUUCAAGCUCCACCCGCUGCAAAGUACUACUGGUUUUGUCAUCCUUUUGUGAAUCCUUGUACUUUAACAUGGUUGAUUUAUCAAAAGUCACAUCUCUACUGAAAACAAUCUUCCUUGUAUCAAGACAUCAGAGAUGGUAUCAUUUUACUCCAUCAGUUAUACCCAAGAAUAAUGAUUUCUUUGCUCUUAGGUCUAACUUAGAUUCUUUUACAUGAUAAUAUACAGUGAAACCAAAUACAUGUAAAGAAUCAUAAUCAGUAGAAGAUUUACCAGUCCACAUCUCCAUAGGAGUUUUUCCAUUUAUUGCAGCUGAUGGAAAACGGUUAAUUAGAUGGCACGCAUAUGUAACUGCCUCAGCCCAAAAUUCCUUGCCCAAUCCAGCAUUGGACAACAUACAUCGAACUUUCUCCAAUAUAGUUCGAUUCAUGCGUUUUGCCACCCCAUUCUGCUGUGGUGUAUCCCGAAUAGUGAAGUGUCACACAAUGCCCUCAUCUUGACAUACUUGUAGAAAUGAAUCAUUUUUGUACUCAGUGCCAUUAUCUGAUCGAAGUCGUUUGACCUUUCGACCAGUCUGAGUCUCCACCAUCUUUUUCUAUUUCAGAAAUGCAUCCAAAACUUCACUUUUUCUUUUCAUUAGAUACACCCAUACUUUUCAUGAAUAAUCAUCAACAAAAGUAACAAAAUAGUGCAUACCUCUCAAAGAAGCCACUUUGGUAGGUCCCCACACAUCACUGUGAACGUAGUCCAGAAUUCUUUUCGUAUUAUGAAUUGCUGGACCAAAUUUUACCCUCGUCUGCUUGCCCAGAACACAAUGUUCACAGAAUUCCAAUUUGCAAGAAUUUGCACCUUUCAACAAGCCUUGCUUCGCCAAAGUCUGCAAAGAUUUUUCACCAGCAUGUCCCAAUCGCAUAUGCCAUAAUCUGGUAGCCUCUGAAUCUACAUAUUUUGUAGAAACUGUUGAUGUUGAUCCAAUAACUGUAUUUCCAUUUAAAAAGUACAAGUUAUUUCUUCUUGUGCCUUUCAUCACCGUCAAUUGCCCAGCUACUACUUUUAGUAAUCCAUCUCUCAAAGUGAUUGUGAGCCCUUUAGAUUCUAGGGCCCCUAAUGAGAUGAGAUUUUUCUUCAGGCUAGGUACGUAGUGAACAUCUGUCAAGACUUGGAUUGAGCCGUCGUGAUUCUUCAAUUGGACUGUACCCACUCCCAUUGUCUUACAAGCACUAUCAUUGCCCAUAAGAACAAUUCCACCUUCUAGCUCUUUAAGACUAGAAAACCAGUCCUUAUUAGGACACAUAUGGUAAGUACAUCCUGAAUCCAAAAUCCACUCAUCCGUUUGACAUGCCAUUGCCAUGCCAACCAAGCUAAAGUCUGACUCCUCAUCAUGCUCCGCUACACAUGCAUUAGAAAUAGCCUUGCCCUUUUGUAGCUUAGGACAAUUCUUUUUCCAAUGCCCUUUUUCACGGCAAAAGGCACAUUCAUCUUUGGCGGGUCUCCCUUUGGACUUUCCCCUUCUACCAGAUUUGCUGCUGUGUGAACGACCUCUUACUGUUAAGACUUCUGCAGUUGUAUCUCUGUGAUCUCUUUUAUCUUUCUUUCGAGUCUCAUAUUUAUACAACGCACUACAGACUGCAUCAAAUGUGAUCGUGUCCUUCCCAUGAAGCAAUGUGGUGGUAAGAUGAUCAUAUUCAUCAGGAAUGGAAUUCAACAACAAUAAUGCCUUGUCUUCAUCUUCAAAUUUCUCAUCCAAAUUUAGCAAGUCUGCUAAAAUUUUAUUGAAUGAGUUCACAUGGUCAUUCAUCGACAUACCGGGUGCAUACAUGAAUCGAUAAAGUUUCUUUUUCAUAUAAAGCCUAUUUUCAAGACUUUUCGUUAGAAACUUUUCUUCCAAUGUAUCCUAUAACUUCUUCGCUGAUGUCUCCCUCAUGGUAGAGUACUUCUGCUCUUUGGCCAAACAUAGGCGGAUUGUACCACACGCCUGUCUAUUGAUCUUAGCCCACUCCUUGUCAUCCAUCUUGUCAGGUUUUUCUUCAAGGGCUAUAUCUAGUUCUUGCUGACAUAAGACAUCCAGGAUCUCACAUUGCCACAUACCAAAAUUAUUGGUACCAUCAAAUUUCUCUACUUCAAAUUUUGCAUUUGUCACAGUAGUCUUUGCUGAUGACGAUGCUGCUGCCAUUUUUCUCCUCAAUCCCAACUACUGUAUAUGUGAACAGUACUGUAUACGUAAAUAGUACCAUAUAUAUGAAUAGUAUCGUAAAUGGUCGUAUUUCCCAAGUACGAAUCUGGCUCUGAUACCAAUUGUUGCGCGGAAGCGUGUGAAAGAGAAAAAAUAUUGUACUAAAAAAUCACACUAAGUUCAAUUCCCAGGAAAGAGAGGUAGAUCACGAAGAUCACUUAAAUACCAAGUCUUUCCUAGCCAGAAUAUCCCUCUAUCGUAAUUUAAUAGCACAAUAAAUCACUACAAUCACAUUCACAAAAUAUGCAAAAUAAAUAAUAAAGAACACCAGAAUUUUAACGAGGUUCAGCAAAUUUUGUCUACGUCAUCGGGCACUACCAAAUAUAUUUCACUCCAAAAAUUACAAGUGAAAUUUACAAAUAGGGAGAGAGAAUAAUGCCUUAAGUAGAGAAUGGCAAUUAUGGGAUGAAGAAAGUAAGAAAUGGUUAGGCCUAUUUAUAGUUGAGGUUCAAGGAUCAACUUGCAAUGUCCCUAUACAAUUAGGGACCAAAAUUGCAAUUAUCCCAUGCUAACUUUUAACCCAACUUGCCAACCAAUCUUACUUUCUACUUUCGGUGCCCACCGUUUUUGACUUUUCAAACAAUGGGUGGGUUCCAAUAAAAAGUAUUAUGUAAGGAAAAUCUUAAGUAUUUUUAUAGAAAAAUAAACUUCUAAUUUUUUUUAAAUUUUUUAAAGUUUUUUUAACUUUUAAAAAUCAAGACUAAAUUAACAAAAUGUGUAAAGUUAAGGGUUAAAUAUGUUCAAAAUUUUAAAUUUAGGACUAAAUUGAUGAUUCUGUAAAUAUUGAACGAUGAAAAUUGUAAUUAUGCCAAUAGGAAAAAAUGUCACUAUUAGUGAUUUAACACAAGAGUGACCAAAAUAUUAAAUUUCGAUAACAUUAAACAGAAACACACUAAUGGUUAAAUGACUAUCUUUAUAGCUUACCCUUAAAAAUUUAAUAUUUAAAAAUUAAUUAAAUGUUAAAAUCACACAUAUUUCACAUUAGAAGGUAGUAAUUAUAAAAUAUAGAAGUAUGAUUCUAAGUUUAUGAUUCUAAGUUUUCCUUAAGCAAUAAAAUUGGUCGCCUUUGUGUAAGAGGAUAUGAAAAAUUGGUUAUGGCUUGGUCCAUGAACAUGUCAGAUGUAAUUAUAUUCUAAGAUUUGAAUAGCUGCAACGAAAUAUUUUGACUCUGUUCAUUGUUCCAUAUUUAUUUCAAUUGAUUGACAUAACAACAAUUCUAUCUACAAUCACAAUUAAUACAAUAUGGUAAAAAAUACAGCAAUGAUUGUAGUUUAGAUCCACUAUUAUAGAAAUUAACUAUAAAUCUUGAGGUCUUAUUGUUUAAGUUUUGUCAUAGAUCCAGCUAAAUAAGAUGUUUUGGAUUGGAGAAAACGAUUCAAUAUUAUUGAAGUGAUUAGUCGAGGAUUGCUUUAUCUUCAUAGAGAUUCAAGACUAAAGAUUAUACACAGAGAUAUAAAAGCAAGUAACAUUUUACUCGAUGAAAAAUUCAACCCAAAAAUUUUGCAUUUUGGGAUGGCUAGGAUUUUCGGAGGCAAUGAAAAUCAAGCUAACAUUAAAAGGGUUGUUGGAACUUAAUAAGUUGGAACUUUCUCCCUAUCAUUUAAUUUUAUUCUCUUUUUUUUUUUGGAUAAAAUAUGGUAUAGAUGUAUCUAUUGAUGGAUCAGGUCCAAUGCUUAAAAAGAUUACAUGCCUAGACCUAAAUUUAGUUUGGCUUAGUUUGAUCUAUGGACUCAUUUUACCAUUUUUAAAAAUUAAAAUAAUAAAGAAUAUAUUUUUUUAUACUUUUAUUAUUUAAUUUUAAUGUGGAUCGACUCGUGAACAAGUUUAGGUCAGGGUUGUAAUUGAUGUUGUUUUUAAUGUUAAAAUACAGUGGUUAUAUGUCUCUUGAGUAUGUAAUGCAAGGACAAUUUUUAGAGAAAUCGGAUGUAUUCAAUUUUAGAGUUCUAUUGCUAGAGGUUGUUAGCGGAAGAAGAAACACAAGCUUUUACAACGAUCAAUAUACACUUUGUCUCUUGGGAUAUGUAAGUCUAUAAGAUAAUUAGAGAUGUUGGUGGAUCAAAUUAGGGUGUAAGAAGUUUUUGCAAGCUAUUCAGGUUCGAAUCAAGAAAACUUGAAUUCUACUAAGUAACUAUUGAGUUGAGAGAUCAUGAGCUAAUCUUGAGAAUCUUAAUGCUUGAAUUGAGUAGCUUGCAAGGUGACAUCGAGAGUCCUAAUACUUGAAUUGAGUAUAUGCUCUGUUUUUUGCUUUAAAUAUAUAUUGAACAUUUUCAAUUGAAAUUUGAGCUUGACUAGAAUAUCGAGUUUAAGUUGAGCCUAAGAAUGAAGCUCAAUUUAGACAUAGGUAAACAAGCUUAAGCAAGAAAUUUUGAGCAGUUGGAUCUUUAUAUAUGUUGAAUUGAGCUUAUCAAAAUCUAUUUAGGCUUUUGUGUUUAUAACUUUGAGUUGAUUUAGGCCGGAAAGUUUUGGUAUUAAUUUAGACAAAUUUUCUUUUCCAUUCUGAGGCAUGGAAAUUGUUGGGGAAUGGCGAUAUUUGUGGCAUAGUAGACAAAGUGAUUUUAGAGUCAGAAACAUAUUCAAAGAAUGAAAAUAAAAAAGAAAUAUGGAGAUGCAUACAUGUUGGCUUGCUAUGUGUUCAAGAAUUUGCUAAAGAUAGACCCACUACGCCUACAGUUGUUUCAAUGCUUAAUAGUGAGAUUUCAAAUCUUAACACUCCAAAACAACCUGCUUUCACUGAAGCACCACUAAUGAGUCAUGAUGUUAAAGAUAGGACUUCACUUAAUGAUGUAACUCUUACAAACCUUAAUGGCAGAUAGAGAUAAAAAUUAAUUAUUUGUAGCGUUUAGAAAUACAGUUUUAAGUAUUGAAAUUUAUUUUUUAUAUUCAACCUAUUUUUAUCAUUUUAUUUCUAUGAUAUUUGUAAUUUUAUUUGUUCCAUUAUAGUGAAUUUACCAUUAUAUUUGAACAUGGCAGUUUAAUACCAAAAUUGAAAACUCAUUUGAUGAAAUUCAAAUUCAAACUCGAUCCAUUUUAAUUUAAAUAUAAAAAAAUUAACAAUUUAAACAUGUUGAAUCCAAGCUUAAAAAUAAUUUAAAAUCCAAAAUAAUUUAAAAUUAAAAUGAUUCAAACCCAAAUUUACCUAACCCAAAAGUCUCCAUUGUGUUUGGUGGAUUCAUUGUUUUGGGUCAAAGCAUCGUUCCAACCUUGGGGCCAUAAUCUUCCAUGAUAUAGUCAGUGUUAUAAGUCUUCCACUAACUAGUAAAGUUCCGCUUAAGUUCCGGAUGUAUCUUUCACAUAUCUUUCUUGGCAACUCCCCCGUAUGUCCUCGCGUUUCCGUGAAGAGACUUUUUUGAUGUCUUAAAUCGACAAUGUAAUCUUUAAGAAGAAAACAGUGGAAAGCAAAUUAAACUUGCAUUUUGGGUGGAAGAUAAAUGAGUCUUCAAGUCAAUCAAAUUAAACGUGCAUGACAAGCUAGAAGUAUUAAUUUCCAUGAACAGGGUGACAUGCUAGUUGAAUACAAAAUAAGUAGUGAUUAGUGCUUGAAGAAAAUUCAAAUCUUGAUGUAAACAUUUGCAACUGCCUUGAAAUAUCAUUACAUCAUAUCAAAAUCAGACUUUGUUUUUAACUGAAAAAAAAAAUUGAGUUGAGUUAAAUAUCAUUCAUAAAUCAUAGCGUCUCUUCCAAGUUCUGGGAAGAGAUUAUGGGAAAAACUAUUAGCUGCUCUGUUUUACUAGCUUUAAUAUCUUGCUUUUACUUACUAUUUGCCACUGCUUUAGACACAAUAACACCAUCAAAAUCCAUCAAAGACCCUGAUGUUAUAAUCUCCCAGAAUGGUGUUUUCCGAUUGGGAUUCUUCAGCUUGGCUAACUCCAGCAAUCGUUAUGUAGGGAUACUCUACAAUCAAAUCCCCGUACAAACUGUUGUAUGGGUAGCAAAUAGAAACAGGCCUCUCAAAGACUCUUCUGGGAUUCUCAACAUAUCAGAUGAUGGCAACCUUGUUGUUUCCAAUGGAAAAGCUGAGGUUCUUUGGUCAUCACAUGUUAACAAUACAGCUCCUAAUGCAACAACUGCCCAGCUUUUAGACUCUGGAAACCUUGUCCUUAGUUAUGGUGAGGAUGGAGCAGCUAGUUCUGCACGUUUAUCAUACAGACUGAGAUUAUGUAAUGGAAUAAUAAUAUGUUAUAAAGAAUUAGUAUUAUUUUGGAAAGUAAUUUUCUAAUAGUUGUAUGCAGUCAAUAUUAACGAUGUUUCUAAGCUUAAUUUAAAAGUGAAAUUUAUAACCUUUUCUCUAAUCUAAUUUAUUUUAGUUAGUAAUUUAUUUAAAUAUAAUUCAAAAAUUAUGGAUACAAUAAUUAUUGUAUGGUUUAAAUGGUGCACCAAUCAGAAGAUUAAAACGCUAUAUGAAUUUACAUAAUUAUUUAAAUAAAUACCACAUGUAUUAUAAGAGGUUUCAUUUAUUCAACAAUUGGUAAUAUGUUAUAAAAAUUAAUAAUAAUAGAAUGUUAUAGGAAAAUUUUUAAUUUAGAAGAGAUUAAAUAAAAAAAAUUCAUUUUAAGAGGACCAGAGUUCUUGUCAGCCCUCUUAACUCCGCCCCUAUAUCUCAAUCUCUAACUUUCCGAUAGCAAAAUUUUGUACCAUGUAUCCUAGAGCCAACCACUUGGCCUUAAUUAGAAAAUCAUUUGUAAGGCAACAUAUUGAAUCAAAAUAAUUAAAAGUUGGUAUAUUUUCCUACAAAUGAUUAAUAUGCAUAGUGUUACUUUCCUUUUUAGUUUGAGAUCCUUUGGUUUUUAGUUUUAAUUAAAUUUAGAAUUCUUUAUCGGGUUUCAAUUAAAUUUAGGUCUCAACACUAUAUUCUCUAUCCGCAAAACUAAACUCAAAAUCUUAUAUUCUCUAUCCGCAAAACUAAACUCAAAAUCUUAGUUAAGGAACAUUGAACUCAGAGUGGUACCAAGGAUGCUAGUCUUUAAAAUUAUAAAGAUAUAAGUUAUUAAAAUGGUGAAAUUGCAUUUUAUUUCUCACAAAAAUAUAUAACUUAAUUCCAGCCCCUAGAAAAAUUUUCUGACUUCCCCCCUAAUUAAACUUCUUAUCACUCAGUCCAACAUCUGUAGCUAAACAAGUAUUCUUAUUUGUAAGAUUCAUAUAACAAAGGGAUAAAUAUCAAAACUACACAUAAAAUUUGAUACAUGAACUUUAAUUUGAUGCAAUUAUACACAUCAAAAUUUAAUUAUGAUUCAAAUGUAUACAUAAAACAUUUAAAGAAAUAAAUACAUUACUUUAUUUUUCGUAUUAGAUAAAUUAAAUUAUUUAUAUAUGUAAUAUAAAAUACAAAAUUAUGUCAUAUCGAUAAUUGUAUUAAUAAUUUAAAUAAAAAAUUUUCAUAUAUAAAAUCAUAAUUUUUUUAGAUUUAUCCCUAUAGCAAAUAACUCCAAGUUGUAGGACAUAUAAGCCAUGCAUGCAUCAUAUCAAACGUACAAAAAACUUCUAAAGAUUGGCAAAUACUAAGUCAAUGUGUCUGUGUGCUGAAAGAAUGUUGUAUUCAAUUAUAAUUCUAUAAAUAAUGCACUUGUAAAUCCAUAAUAUAAAUAAAUGAACAUGAAAUUACUUUAUCAUGUCAUAUUCCAUCAUUUGCCGACAGGAUCUUUAUCUUCCACCUUCUUUGCUUGGGAAAUUAAGAAAGACCAACUUAAGCUCCAAGCAAGACUAGUGGGUCCUUCUGUAUAGUAUUCUAAUACUUUAAAUUAUACAUUUAAUUGAUUUUAGUAGUUAAAUUUUAUUAUUAGAUUGAUUUUAUGUAUAAGUUGUGAAUUUAGUCUCUAUUCUUUAAAUUGAUUUUUUUAAUUUUUAAAAUUUUUAGAUUUUAAAAUUUAAUCCUAACUCGAACAACAGUAGUUAAAUUCAUUAAGUAAUAUAAUACCGUUUUUGUGAGUAUUAUUUAUAAAUAAAAAACUAACAUAAUAUCACACAUGUGAUAAUAUAUUUAUUUUAUAAUAUUUUAAAAAUAAUUAAUCUAACUGUUAUUAUUUGAGUUACACAUAAUUUAAAGAAUUUAAUUAUUUUACAAAUCAAAAUAUAGAAUCGGUGCCCCUAAUCCAAUGAUAAAAAAAUUACAUCAAAAUGAAGUCUUAGGUCCAGAAUUCAAUUUUUUGGACAUCCUAUCCCCUGAUUGUAUUUGUGUGAACAUGGUGGCACAUGAGUUGAUUUUUUGGUACUCCAAUGGAAGAAAGUGCCAACAAAAAUAUAGAAAAUUAAGAGUAAUUGACACUUCCAGAAAAUUUCCACAAGCCAAUAUGAGAUUACGUAUAUACAAAGAAAAUUGAGAUGUAGACCACUAGACGUAAACAUGUGAGCCUGCCAUGAAACAUCAUUACACCAUAUCAAAAUCAGACCCUAAAAAAGGGUCAAUUUCUGUAGAAGGUCCCUACCCUACAUAUAUUUUGUGAAUUUAGUCCUUUCAUAUAAUUCGGUAUUUUUUAUCUCUCCUCUUUUUGGAAAUUACAAAUUCAAUUGAUAGAGAUGGAUACAAAAAUUAGUUAUACAAAUCAAAAAACUUUUUUAUGUCUAUGAGACUUUACCCAAAAUCUAAUUUACUAUCAAUAUGCAGUGUAAGAUGUGAAUUUAAAUUCAACUUUCUCACUAAAUUGUAACAUUGCUCCUAUAUAUCAAUAUAAGAUCAUUUUCCCCCACUAAAAUUUUCCCUUGAAAGCUUAGCUACAAAUUGAAAAAAAAAAAGAUUUACAAUGAAUUUGCAUUAAGAAUUUCCUAACAAUGAAUAGACAAGUGCUCUCUCAUAAUCGUCUAUAAUGAGACAAACAAGUCUUCUUUAGUUAAGCAUUAAUGCCUAGUAAUUCUUCAAUUGGUGGGAACGUAUAUUUCCUUGAAUUGUUGAUGGGAAUGUAUAUUUCCUUGAAUUGUUCUCGAAUAAGUUUUUAAUAAGGAAUCAAAAUAUGUAAACAUUUUUGAGGAAUAAGCUUCUAUUUCUAUAAAAAACCCAGAUCUCUCUGUACCACAAAUAACAUAAAUUCUUUAAAUAGAGCAAUUGCUUGACUGACUUUCGUCAUGAUCCAUUCCAUUAAAUUGGUGCUUAAAGUCUUUAAUAUAAUGUAAGAAUUAAAUCAAGAUUUUUCAGUAAAAAAUAUGCCAAUAUGUAUAUGGUAUAGGUUGUACAACUUUCCAAUUGCACCUUAUUUUCAAUAUUGACAAUCAACCUUAUUUAUUUAUUUAUUAAUUCUCUCAAAUAAUUUAGUAUGAUUAAAUAAAUAUUCCGAAAAGCAAAGAAAUUGAAAAAAAAUUACAUUGUAGGGACUAAAUCUUCCAAAAAUGUAAAAAUACAGGGACCUCAUAUAUUAUUUGACCUUUAUUAAUAUCAUUCAUAAAUCAUAGAAUCACUUCCAAGUUCUGCACCGGGGAAAACUAUUAGCUGCUCUGUUUUAGUAGCUUUAAUAUCUUGUUUUGACUUACAGCUGCAGUUUGGCACUGCUUCACACACUAUAACAGCAUCAAAAUCCAUCAAAGACUCUGAUGUUGUAUUAAUUUUACUUAAGUUUUACUUUGCAUUUAAAUUUGUAAUAUUUCAAAUAAUAGGUUGAAUACAUUAUAAUGUUGUAUUAAUUUUAUAUAUUUAUACAAAUUUUAUUUAACAAAUUAAAUUUUAAUUUAGUAAUAUAAUUUUUUUUAUUAUUCACAUUAAGUUUUCAAUUAAUUUGAUAUAUAUGUUAUUUGAGAAUACAGUUUUAUAUAUAUUUUUAAUGGUUGGAUUUUUUUUAUAUUAAACAAAUAAAUAUACUUUUUAACAUAGUCCAACUUUGAUGUAAUUUACAUAUAACAUGAAAUUAAACAAAUAUAGAUCUUAUAAUAAUAAUAAUAAUAAUAAACUAAGGAAAUAUUUAAACUUAUAGAUUGAUUGUGUACUUAGCCAGGUCUAGUUGAGACAGGUCUACUUGUAAGAUUGGAAUAGCCUAUGAUUCCAACUUGUCAUAUCAAAGUACGAAGACGAAUAAACAUUGGCAGAAACAGAAAAGUCUAUGCUCGAUAAUGCUCUAUCCAAUUAUAAUUUUAUGCGAGUUGCCUUUUUGGUAUUCCAAUUGAAUUCCCAGAAGCCAAUAAGGGAUCAUAACAAAAAUCAUUUACAAAUCAUAGCCUCACUUCCGGGGUCUGCACUUCAAGAACUUCAUGGGUAAAACUAUUAGUAGCUGCCUUUUACCAGCUUUAAUAUCUUGUUUUUACUUGCAGCUGCAGAUUGGCACUGCUUCAGACACUCUAAGAGCAUCAAAAUCCAUCAAAGACCCUGAAUUUAUCAUCUCACAGGGUGGAGUUUUCCGAUUGGGAUUCUUCAGCUUUGCUAAUUCCACCAAUCGUUAUGUAGGGAUAUUGUACAACCAAAUCCCCGUACAAACCGUUGUAUGGGUGGCAAAUAGAAACAGGCCUCUCAAAGACUCUUCUGGAAUUCUCACCAUAUCAGAUGAUGGCAAACUUGUUGUUUUGAAUGGAAAAGCUGAGAUUCUUUGGUCAACACAUGUUACGAAUCUGGUUCCUAAUGCAACAACUGCACAGCUUCUAGACUCUGGAAAUCUUGUCCUCAAUAAUGGCGACAAUGGAGGAAGCAGCAGCUUAUGGGAGAGUUUUCAACACCCUUCUAAUGUAUUCCUUCAAACUAUGAAGAUGGGCGUUGAUUUAUAAACGGGUCGUAAGGUGCAUACCAGAUCAUGGAAAGGCCCUGAUGAUCCAUCUGAUGGUAACUUUUCUCAAGGCCUCGAACCUUUCAACAUCCCAGAGGGUGUCAUUUGGAACAAUAACCAGAUAUAUUUUCGGACUGGCCCAUGGAAUGGCCAUAUCUAUAUUGGUUUAAUAGAUAUGAAUACCGUUUAUCUUGAUGGGUUUUAUGUGGUUGCAGAUGAUGACGGAAAAAGUUAUUAUGAAACUUACAAAUAUUCUAAUAAGUCUAUGUUGAUAUACUAUGAAUUAGAUUAUGAAGGAAGAUUCGUUGGACGAAAUUGGGAUGCGGGGAAAGGGGACUGGAUAAACAGUUACCAAAUUCUUCGAACAGAUUGUGAUUUUUAUGGAAAGUGUGGGGCAUUCGGAAUCUGCGAUCGAAUGAAACGACCCAUUUGCAGUUGCUCAAAGGGAUUUAAGCCUAGGAAUGCAGAGGAAUGGAGUAGAGGUAAUUGGAGUAGAGGGUGUUUUAUAGGACUACCCCUUUGCAGUGCCAAAGAGAUAACAACAAUGGCAGUGGAGGAGCAGGGCAAAGUGAUGAUGGGUUUUUGAAGCUCAAGACGAUGAAAGUACCGGCUUUUCCAAAUCAGUCAUCAAUAAUUAACGGCGAAUGCAAAGAUCAAUGCAUGAAGAAUUGUUCGUGCGUGGCUUAUGCGUAUGAUGCUGGUAUUGGUUACAUGUUAUGGAGUGGAGAUUUGAUUGAUGUCCAGAAAUUCCCCACUCGCGGAGUCGAUCUUUACAUUCGUCUGUCAUCUUCGGAACUUGGUAACCUUGUCUUCAUGUUGACCAUGUUUGAUAAAUUGCGUUAAUUACCCAAGUAUUAUUAACCAAGUGUCUAAAAUUGCAGAUAAAGGCAAAAGUACUAAGGUCAUUGCGAUUACAACAGUAAUUGCGGGCAUAGUGGUUAUUACAAUUUCUGCACUCUUCCUAUGGUGUGGGAUGGCUAAACAAAGAGGUAAAUUGUCGUCUCUAUUUAUUUAAUUUAUGUAGUCACUUUUUUUUAUAUGAAAUAUGUAAUCACUUUAAGAGAAGAAUAUCUGAUAAAUUUGCAACAAUAUCAUCAUUAUUAUUACAACAGUAAUUGUAGUUUGUAGGCAUAGCGAUAUCUACAAUUAUGUAGCCUUCAACUCAUUGCUUCUUUGAUCUCUAUCUCAGGAAGGAAUAAAAGACACAAACAGAUCAAACACAAAUCUUAUAGUGAAAAUGUUGGAGAAAGUUCAAUCGGUGUUAAACUCGAGCAGCUUCCACUAUUCAAUUUCGAACAACUUGCCACCGCGACCAACCGGUGUUAAACCCGAGCAGCUUCCACUAUUCAAUUUCGAACAACUUGCCACCGCGACCAACAACUUCCAUCCUGCAAAAAAGCUAGGGCAGGGUGGUUUUGUCCCUGUUUACAAGGUAAUAAAUAAUAGCUAUUUCCGGUGAAUCCAGCGUUAAUGAAAUGACAUUCUUUUCUCAAUUAAGUAUUGUGACCUGAAUUGUGAAUGUAGGGAACAUUAGAUGAUGGAAAAGAAAUAGCAGUGAAGAGAUUGUCGAAAGCUUCGGGGCAAGGAUUGGAAGAAUUUAUGAACGAAGUGGUGGUUAUUUCAAAGCUCCAACAUCGAAAUUUGGUUAGAUUAUUUGGGUGUUGUGUUGAAGCAGAAGAGAAGAUACUCGAUCGUCUAUGAGUUCAUGCCCAAUAAAAGUUUGGACGCUUUUCUGUUUAGUUAGUAAUUUAUUUAAACUCUCUUUUUUUAAGUGUUAGUUAAUCAUAUUCAACUCUGAUUAAAUUUAAAAUCAAAUUAAGUCAAUUCAUUCACAAAAUUUAAAUUAAAAACUUUGUUUAAGAGGCAUUUAAAUUCUUACCAUUCUUUUUUUUUUUUUUUUGAGAACUAAAUUCUUACCAUUCAAUUCACUAGUCAUGGGUACAUUUUCGUGACUGCCUAAUCUCAUAAGUUUGACUAGAUAAAUCAAAUCCAUAUAAAUUAAAUUUGGGAUUUAAUUUUGAUUUUUAAGUGGCCCAAUCCAACUUAAAUCUAAUUAUAUAUUAUAUUUAUUACUAAAGUUAAUGUCUUACAAUAUGUGAAUUGUAUAACCUAGCUAAGCUACGUACAAUAUAUAUGUAUACAUAUAUUAUAUAUUAUAUAUAUAUAAGUAAAAAAAUGUUUGCAUCACCAUAAACUAUUUUUCUAACUUAUUUUGCUUUUUUUUAUAAAUAUUUCCAAUUUUUUAAUUUUUAUUCCCCAAAAAAAGGAAAUUUCAAAAAGAAAAUAGAAUAACAUUCAAGUUUAUUAAGUAAAAUUACUAUAUAUAUAUAUUCAAUUUUGUGCUGUCUACAUUUUUUUUUUGAAUUUUCACUUUUUUAUUUGAAUUUUCUCUCUCUCUCUCUUUUUAAAAUCUAUUUUAUAAGGAAAAUUAUAUAUUUUUUUAUUAGGAGUUGGUCUAUAUUCUAGGAUUUAAAUAGUAGUGGCAGCAGUAAAUUUUGACUCUUUCCGCAUUUUAAUAUUUAUUUCAAUUGAUUGACGUAACUUCAAUUAUGCUACAUUCAUAAUGAAUACAAUAUGAUAGAAAUAAAAUGCUGGUUUUAGUUUAGAUCCUCAAUUAUAGGAAUUAAUUAUUAAUUUUGGUGGUAAAUUUUGUUACAGAUCCUAUUAAACAAGAUUCUUAGAUUGGCGAAAGCGCUUCAAAAUUAUUGAAGAAAUCAGUCAAAGAUUACUUUAUCUUCAUAGAGAUUCAAGAUUAAGAAUUAUACAUAGAGAUUUAAAAGCAAGUAAUGUUUUACUUGACCAAGAUUUAAAUCCAAAAAUUUCAGAUUUUGGAAUGGCAAGGAUCUUCGGAGGAGACGAAAAUCAAGCCAAUACUAAAACGGUUGUUGGAACUUAGUAAGUAGGAACUUUCUCUCUACCAUUUAUUUUUAUUCAUUUUUUGAUAAAAUAUGAUAUAAAUAUGUCUAUGGUCGGGUUCGGUGCUUUUAGAAAAUAAAUGUUCAUACCAAGUAUCAAGUUUAAUUUUUUUCAAUUUGUGGACUCAAUUUAUUGUUUUUAAUUUUAAAUGAUUUAUUAUUUAUUCUUAAUUUGGGUUGGCUCGUGGCCAAGUUUAAAUUAGAGUUGUAAUGGGUGUUUUUUUAAUUUUAAAAUACAGUAGUUAUAUGUCCCCUGAGUAUGCAAUGCAAGGGCAAUUUUCAGAGAAAUCAGAUGUGCUCAGCUAUGGAGUUCUACUACUAGAGAUUGUUAGUGGAAGAAGAAACACAAGCUUUUACAACAAUAAGGAUGACCUCAGCCUCUUGGGAUAUGUAAGUUCAUAAGAUAGUUAGAGAUGUUGGUGGAUGGAAUUAGGGUGUAAGAUAUUGUAUUUGAGAGUUAUUCGGGUUCGAUUUCAGAAAACUUAAAUUUGGCUCAACAAUUAUUGAGUCAAGCAAUCAUGUGAGUUGAAUUUGAGAAUCUAAAUUUUUGAAUCGAGUAGCUCACAAGCUAACUUCAAGAACCCUAAUACUUGAAACGAUUAGCUUGCAAGGCUUUUCAAUCUUAAUCAAUAUUGAAAAGUUUUAGUUCAAACUCGAACUUGAUUGCAAAUAAUCAAGUUUGAAGUUAAGCAUAAGAGUGAAGCUCAUUGUAGACUUAGGUAAAACAAGCCUAAUAGAGUUAGAACAUUUUAAUCUUUAUCUUAUCUUGAAUAAUUUUGUUAUUAAUGAAGUCAAAAGUUGUUUUUUGUUUUCAGGCAUGGAAAUUAUGGAGGGAAGGCAAUAUUUGGGGCUUAGUAGACAAGGUGAUUUUAGAGUCGAAAUCAGAUUCAAAUAUGGAAAAAGAAAUAUGGAGAUGCAUAAUAUACAUGUUGGAUUGCUAUGCGUCCAAGAAUAUACUAAAGAUAGGCCCACUAUAUCUAUUGUUAUUUCAAUGCUUAAUAGUGAGAUUUCAGAUCUUAACACUCCAAAGCAACCUGCUUUCACUCAAGCACCACUAAUGAGCCAUGAUGUUGAAGAUAGAGGUUCACUUAAUGAUGUAACUCUUACAAACCUUGAUGGUCGAUAAAAAUGUAAAUUAAUUAUUUGUAUUGUUUACAAUUAAAGUUCAAGCAUUGAAAUAAAACCAAUUUAACAAUGCCAUGUUAAAUUUUGCCAAAUCGUGGAAACCUAUCCCACCAUCUUCUUUCAAGUUACAAAAAUAAGACCAAUUGCACUAAUGUAUACCCUUACUCUCUGUCGACUUCUGCCACCAAAAUCUGGCCCGUAUAGCUUUGAGCUCUUUGCAAAACGUCUUAGGGAGCAGAAAACACAUCAUCGCAUGGGUAGGAAUAGCUUGAAGUGCAAGUUUUAUAAAUACCUCACUAAAGUAACCGAGUACUCCAUGAAGAAAUCUCACUUCUAAUCUUAUCCCGAAGGCUAGCAAAAUUUGGUACCAUAUAUCCUAGUGCCAAUCACUUGGCCUUAGAAAAUCAUUUGUAAGGCAACAUAUUGAAUCAAAAUAAUUAAAAGUUGGUAUAUUUUCCUACAAAUGAUCGAUAUGCAUAGUGUUACUUUCCUUUUUAGUCUGAGAUCCUUUGGUGUUUAGUUUCAAUUAAAUUUAGAAUUCUUUAUCCGGUUUCAAUUAAAUUUAGGUCUCAACACUAUAUUCAAUAUCCACAAAACUAAACUCGAAAUUUUAGUUAAGGAACAUUGAAUUCAGGGUGGUGCCAGGGAUGCUAACAAGGGUUUCGUUAGCCUGUUUUCCCCUCCCCAGAAAAGAAAAUCUCGCUUUUGGCUUUUUAAAGUUUAUAGAAUUUUAAAUUUAUAUAUAGUAAAUUUAUACUUUGACUUCCAAAAAUAUUAAAAUUUUGAUUUAAUCUUUUAAAAUUAUAAAGAUAUAAGUUAUUAAAAUAGUGAAAUUACAUUUUAUCUCUCACAAAAAUAUAUAACUUAAUUCUAGCUCCUAGAAAAAUUUUCUGACUUUCCUCCUGAUUAAACUUCUUAUCACUCAGUCCAACAUCUGUAGCUAAACAAAUAUUCUUAUUUGUAAGAUUCGUAUAACAAAGGAAUAAAUAUCAAAACUACAUAUAAAGUUUGAUUUAAUAUGUAAUUUGAUACAUAAACUUUGAUUUGAUGUAAUUAUACACAUCAAACUUUGAUUAUGACUCAAAAGUAUACAUAAAAUAUUUAAAUAAAUAAAUACAUUACUUUAUUUUUUGUAUUAGAUAAAUUAAAUUAUUUAUAUAUGUAAUAUGAAAUACAAAAUUGUAUUAUAUCGAUAAAUGUAUUAAUAAUUUAUAAAAUUUAAAUAAAAAAUUCAUAUUUUAGAUUUAUCCCUGUAGCAAACAAUUCCAAGUUGUGGGACACAUAAGCCAUGCAUGCGGCAUAUCAAACGGACAAAAAACUUCUAAAGAUUGGCAAAUUCUAAGUCAAUGUGUCUGUGUGCUGAAAGAAUGGUGUAUUCAAUUAUAAUUCUACAAAUAAUGCACUUGUAAAUCCAUAAUAUAAAUAAAUGAACAUGAAAUUACUUUAUCAUGUCAUAUUCCAUCAUUUGCUGACAGGAUCUUUAUCUUCCACCUUCUUUGCUUGGCAAAUUAAGAAAGACCAACUUAAGCUCCAAGCAAGUCUAGUGGGUCCUUCUGUAUAGUUUUCUAAUACUUUAAAUUAUACAUUUAUUUGAUUUUAGUAGUUAAAUUUUAUUAUUAAAUUGAUUUUAUGUUUAAGUUGUGAAUUUAAUCGUUAUUCUUUAAAUUGAUUUUUUUAAUCUUUAAAAUUUUUGAAUUUUAAAAUUUAAUCCUAAUUCGAAUGAUAGUAGUUAAAUUCAUUAAGUGAUAUAACAUCAUUUUUGUGAGUAUUAUUUAUAAAUAAAAAGUUAACAUAACAUCACACAUGUGAUAAUAUUUUAUUGUAUAAUAUUUUAAAAAUAAUUAAUCUAACUGUUAUAAUUUGAGUUACACAUAAUUUAAAGAAUUUAAUUAUUUUAUAAAUUAAAAUAUAGUAUCGGUCCAUGAUAAAAAAGAUUAUAUUAAAAAUUAAGUCCUAGGUCCAUAAUUCAAUUUGUUGGACACCUACCCUGACUGUAUUUGUGUGAACAUGGUGGCACAUGAGUUGAUUUUUUGGUACUCCAGUGGAAGAAAGUGCCAACAAAACUAUAGAAAAUUAAGAGUAAUUGACACUUCCAGAAAAUUUCCCUAAGUCCAAAUGAGAUUACGUAUAUGCAAAGACAGUUUAGAUGUAGAUCACUGGAUGUAAACAUUUAAGACUGCCAUGAAACAUCAUUACACUAUAUCAAAAUCAGACCCUAAAAAAGAGUCAAUUUCUGUAGAAGGCCCCUACCCUAUAUAUACUUUGUGAAUUUAGUCCUUUCAUAUAAUUCGGUAUUUUUUAUCCCUCCUCUUUUUAGAAAUUGCAAAUUCAAUUGAUAGAGAUGGACACACAAAAAUUGGUUAUACAAAUCAAAAAACUUUUGUACACCUAUGAAACUUUGCUCAAAUUGCAACAUCGUUACUAUAUAUCAAUAUAAGAUCAUUUUCCUCCACUAAGAUUUUCCCUUGAAACCUUAGUUACAAACUGAAAAGAAUAAAUGGUUUACAAUGAACUUGCAUUAAGAAUUCCUUCAAUCGGUGGGAUCAUAUAUUCCCUUGAAUUUUUCUCGAAUAAGUUUUCAAUAAAGAAUCAAAAUAUGCAAAGAAUUUCAAGGAAUAAACUUCUAUUUCUAUAAAAAAGACCAGAUCUCUCUGUAGCACAAAUAACAUAAAGUCUUUAAAUAGAGCAAUUGCUUGACUGACUUUCGUCAUGAUCUAUUCUAUUAAAUUGUUGCUUAAAGUCUUCGUAAGAAUUAAAUCAAAAUUUUUCAAUAAAAAAUAUGGUAGGUUGUGCAACUUUCCAAUUGCACCUUAUUUUCAAGAUUGACAAUCAACCUUUUUUCAUUAACUCUGUCAAAAUAAUUUAGUAUGAUUGAAUACAUAUUUCGAAAACCAAAGAAAUUGAAAAAAAAAAAUUAUAUUGUAGGGACUAAACCUUCCAAAUAUGUAAAAAUAGAGGGACCUUAUUUAUUAGUUGACCUUUAUUAAUACCAUUCAUAAAUCAUAGAAUCACUUCCAAGUUCUGCACCAGUUACACGGUCAUGGGGAAAACUAUUAGCUGCUCUGUUUUAGUAGCUUUAAUAUCUUGUUUUGACUUACAGCUGCAGUUUGGCACUGCUUCACACACUAUAACAGCAUCAAAAUCCAUCAAAGACCCUGAUGUUAUAAUCUCCCAGAAUGGUGUUUUCCGAUUGGGAUUCUUCAGCUUGGCUAACUCCAGCAAUCGUUAUGUAGGGAUAUUGUACCACCAAAUCCCCGUACAAACUGUUGUAUGGGUGGCAAAUAGAAACAGGCCUCUCAAAGACUCUUCUGGGAUUCUCACCAUAUCAGAUGAUGGCAACCUUGUUGUUUCCAAUGGAAAAGCUCAGAUUCUUUGGUCAACAAAUGUUACGAAUUUGAUCCCUAACGCAACAACUGCACAGCUUUUAGACUCUGGAAACCUUGUCCUCAAUAACGGUGAGAAUGGAGGAAGUAGCAUCUUAUGGGAGAGUUUUCAACACCCUUCUAAUGCAUUUCUUCAAACUAUGAAGAUCAGCACUGAUGUAAAAACGGGUCGUAAGGUGCAGACGAGAUCAUGGAAAAGCCUUGAUGAUCCAUCUGAUGGCAACUUUUUUCAAGGCAUUGAACCUUUCAGCAUCCCGGAGGGUGUCGUUUGGAACAAUAACCAGAUAUAUUCUCGGACCGGCCCAUGGAAUGGUCGUAUCUAUAUUGGUUUAAUAAAUGUUAAUAGUGUUUAUUUUGAUGGGUUUUAUGUGGUUGCAGAUGAUGUAGAAAAAACCUAUUACGAAACUUACGAAUAUUCUACUGAUUCUAGGUUGAUAUACUAUGAAUUAGAGUCUGACGGAAGAUUCGUUGAACGAAUAUGGGAUGCGGGGAAAGGGGACUGGAUAACCGGGUACUCUAGUUAUCGAACAGAUUGUGAUGUUUAUGGAAAGUGUGGGGCAUUUGCUAUCUGCGAUUCAACGAAACGACCCAUUUGCAGUUGCUUGAAAGGGUUUAAGCCUAGGAAUAUAGAAGAAUGGAGUCAAGGUAAUUGGAGUAGUGGGUGUUUUAGGACUACCCCUUUGCACUGCCAAAGAGAUAACAACAACGGAAGUGAAGUAGGCCAAGGAGAUGAUGGGUUUUUAAAGCUGAAGAAGACGAAAGUACCGGCAUUUCCAGACCAGUCAUCAAUAACUAACGGCGAAUGCAAAGAUCAAUGCAUGAAGAAUUGUUCGUGCGUGGCUUAUGCGUAUGAUGCUGGCAUUGGUUGCAUGUUAUGGAGUGGAGAUUUGAUUGAUGUCCAGAAAUUCUCUACUCGGGGAGUCGAUCUUUACAUUCGUCUGCCAUCUUCGGAACUUGGUAAACUUGUCUUCCAUAUCGACCAUGUGUGUGACGAAUUGCAUCAAUUAAUCUUCAUUUUUGGUUUAGAUGUUUUAUUAACCAUGUUCUGGAUUUGCAGAUACAGGGAAACAUACUAAGGUCAUUGUUAUUACAACAGUAAUUUCAGGCAUGCUCGUGAUUAUAAUAAUUUCUGCACUCUUCGUAUCGCGUAGAAUGGGUCAACAAAGAGGUAAAAUGUCCAUCUUUAUUUGUUUAAUCUUUGUAGUCACUUUUUUUUAAGAAAUAUGUAAAUUCUAGAGUUCUCUUCGGGUAAAAUUGGAUUUAAAGGUAUUUUUUAUUCGAUUUAAAUUCAAAUUUUAGAUAAAAUAAAAUUAAAAUAGAAUUGACUCGAAUACUGUGAAAAGCUCUAAACUUAAUUGAGUACUAUUGUAAAAGGUGAAGGUUGAAUUCAAGUGAGAUUAAAUUAUUCAAUUUUGCUCGAUUAAGUUGGUUUAUAUAAGUUACAAAUUAGUAUCUGAUUAUAUAUAUAUAUAUAUAUAUUAAAGUUUGAAUUCUCAUUCCUAUAUAUUUUUAUAUUCAAAUAACAUGGACCAUGUGUUAGAUAAAUUGGGUGAAUUAAUUUGCAAUUCUUUUGGGUCGAAGUUUCAUAAACCAAGUUUCUGGAUUUGCAGAUAAAGGGAAAAGUAGUAAGGUCGUCUUUGUUAUUACAACAGUAACUGUGGGCAUAGUCGUAAUUACAAUUAUGUAACCUUCAACUCAUUGCUUCUUUGAUUUCAAUCACAGGAAGGAAUAAAAGACGGACACAGAUCAAACACAAAUUUCAUAGUGAAAAUAUAGGAGAAAGUUCAAUCGGUGUUAAACUCCAGCAGCUUCCACUAUUCAAGUUCGAAGAACUUGCCACCGCGACCAACAACUUCCAUCCCGAGAAAAAGCUAGGGCAGGGUGGUUUUGGUCCGGUUUACAAGGUAAUAUAUAAUAGUGAUUUCCGGUUGUUAGGAUAAUCAUCACCAGUCCAAAGCCGGAUUGUAAUGAGUUCAUAGGCCAGGCCCAUUAAUCGAGAAUUUUACAGGAAAGCAAGCUCAACUUACGAGCUCAUUACAAUCAAACCCAAACCCAUUUGGAUUUUGAGCCGAAUGAUAAUUAUCCUAACACCGGUGAAUCCAGAGUCAAUGAAAUCACAUUUUUUUCAAUCAAGUAUUGUAGUCUGAAUUUUGAGUGCAGGGAACAUUAGAUGAUGGAAAGGAAAUAGCAGUGAAGAGAUUGUCGAAAGCUUCGGGGCAAGGUUUGGAAGAAUUUAUGAACGAAGUGGUGGUUAUUUCUAAGCUCCAACAUCGAAAUCUGGUUAAAUUGUUUGGGUGUUGUGUUGAAGCAGAAGAGAAUAUGCUCGUCUACGAGUUUAUGCCAAACAAAAGUUUGGACGCUUUUCUAUUCGGUUAGUAAUUUAUUCAAAUCUUAUAUGACAUUUUCGGUCUCUAAUCAAAUUCAGAAAUGAGUUGAAUAGGAUCCCUUAAAAAAUAAUGUUCUCCCAUAAAUGUUUUCUCCAUUCACAAAAUUUAAAUUUAGGUGUAAAAGUGAUAUUUUGAUUCUCUUCACCAUUUAAUUAUGUCUACAAUCAUAAUGAAUACAAUACGGUAGAAAUACAAUGAUUGUUGUAGUUUAGAUCCUCAAUUGUAGGAAUUAAUUAUUAAUCUGAUAGGUUUUUAUGUUUAAAUUUUGUUAUAGAUCACGUUAAACAAAAACUCUUGGAUUGGAGAAAACGCUUUAAUAUUAUUGAAGGGAUUAGUCGAGGAUUACUUUAUCUUCAUAGAGAUUCAAGAUUGAAGAUUAUACACAGAGAUCUAAAAGCAAGUAAUGUUUUACUUGACCAAGAGCUAAACCCAAAAAUUUCAGAUUUUGGGAUAGCCAAGAUCUUCGGAGGUGACGAAAAUCAAGCCAACACUAAAAGGGUUGUUGGAACUUAGUAAGUUAGAAUUUCCUUCCUACCAUUUCUUUUUAUACUCUUUUUAAUAAAAAAUGGUAUAAAUAUGUCUAUGGUCGGAUUUGGUGCUUAAAGAUGAUACAUGUCCAUACUCGCAUCGAGUUUAAUUUUGUUCAAUUUGUGGACUCAAUUUAUUGUUUUUAAUUUUAUUAAUAAAAUAUUAAAAAUAUAUUUUUAUAGUUAACUUUAAAUUAUUUAUUAUUUAUUCUUAAUUCAGGUUGGCUUGUGGACAAGUUUAAAUAAGAGCUGUAAUUGGUGUUGUUUUUUAUGUUAAAAUACAGUGGUUAUAUGUCUCCUGAAUAUGCAAUGCAAGGGCGAUUUUCAGAGAAAUCUGACGUGUUCAGCUAUGGAGUUCUACUACUAGAGAUUGUUAGUGGAAGAAGAAACACAAGCUUUUACAACAAGGAUGACCUUAGCCUCUUCGGAUAUGUAAGUUCAUAAGAUAGUUAGAGAUGUUGGUGGAUGGAAUUAGGAUGUACGAUUUCGUAUUUGCAAUCUAUUUGGGUUCGGUUUGAGAAAACUUCAAUUUAGCUCAAUAAUUAUUGAGUCGAGAAAUCAUGUGAGUUGAAUUUGAGAAUCUUAAUGCUUGAAUCGAGUAGCUCACAAGUGAAUUUCAAGAACCCUAAUACUUGAAUUGAGUAGCUUGCAAAGCUUUUCAAUCUUAAUCAAUAUUGAAAAUUUUCAGUUCAAACUCGAGCUUAAUUAUAAAUAAUCGAGUUUGAAGUUAUGCAUAGGAGUGAAGCUUUUGUAGAUUUAGGUAAAACAAGCCUAAUCAAGAGAGUAAAAACACUUCAAUUAACUCUAUUAAAGCUUUAAGAUUAAAAUUUUGAGUCACGUUAAGCCAAAUGAUUUAGGCAUUAAUUUAGAUAAAAUUGUUUACUGUUUCAGGUCUGGAAAUUAUGGAACGAAGGCAACAUUUGGGACUUAGUAGACAAGGUGAUUUCAAAGUCAGAAUCAGAUUUAAAGAAUAAGAAAGAAAUAUGGAGAUGCAUACAUGUUGGAUUGCUAUGCAUUCAAGAAUAUGCUAAAGAUAGGCCCACUAUGUCUACUAUUGUUUCAAUGCUUAACAGUGAGAUUUCAGAUCUCAACACUCCAAAACCACCUGCUUUCACUCAAGGACCACUAAUGAGCCAUGAUGUUGAAGAUACGGUUUCAGUUAAUGAUGUAACUUUUACAAACCUUGAUGGUCGAUAAGAUAGAAAUUAAUUAUUUGUAGUGUUUACAAUUAGAGUUCAAGCAGUGAAAUUUAUUUUUAUAUUAUGUUUUGAUAUGUUUUUGUCAUUUUAUUUGUUUCAUUCUAGAGUGAAUUUACCACGGUAACUUUGUCCCAUACUUGAAAACUUGAUUUUAUCAAAUCCAAACUUAAACUUGACCUAACUUGAAUUGAACAUAAAAGAUCAAUAAUUUGAACCCGUUCACCUUAAACUCAAAAAUGAUUUAAAACCUAAAAUGAUUUGAAUUUAAAGUGACCAAAUUCAAAAUUUCUUAAAUACAUAACCCGAAAUGUUCUGAACCUAAUAUGACCUAACUUGAAAAACCCAACUUACAAAUCCACCUGAACCCAAAAUAGCUUCAACCUUAAACUAAUUCAAAUUCAAAAUUACUCAAAAAUUUUAAAAUUUGAAUUAUACUUGAAGUCACUCUUUGUAAUGAUUAUCACUUUUGUUUAUUGAAUUUUGCAGGGUAAAAAAGCUCAUGAAGUUUUAAAAAAUUCUAUAAGUCAUACAAAAUGCAUUUAAUUAUACUCUUAAACUUGAAAAUAUUAUCAAUUAAGCUCUUUAACCAAUGAAAUUCAUUGUUGAUUGUUAAUUUAAUUAAAAGUUACUGAUGUGGUAGUUAAUAAUUGUCAAAUCAUUCAUUUUCUUUCAAGCUGCAGUCCAAAGUAGUAGAUAAUGUGUAAACUUAAUGACAUGGGAAUUGGAGAAGAAAUUUAAAAAGAUUAGUAAUUAAACUAUCAAAUGUAAUUAAUUAAACUUGAUGAUAGUGUAACACUCCCAACCCUAUAUCGUCACUGGAACAGGGUUACGGAGCAUUAUCGGACAUAUCAAAUAUUACGAAUAACUCACAAAUAAUUGACAUACAAAGGAUAAAUUUAAUCCUUAAGUCCCUAAAAUGGACCCUCGAGGCCCAAAACACGUAUUAGAAGUGGAUUGAGGCUUAUCCAGGUGCUCAGAGAAUUUUCGUAAAUUUUUAAAAAAAUUAACUCAAUAUAACUUCCUUUAUAUACAUCUAACCUUCCCUGCAAUUUCAAACCGAAACCAAUCCAAUACCAAUGAUAUAACCAAUUCAAUUCAUACAUGUAAACAUCUAAAACAUGCCAAGAUUAAUACUAGAAUUUACUAUAUGAUCAUUCAUACCAUUAUUCAAAUUAAAUUAAAAGUUCUAUUCAAUUUUCAAUUCAAACAUAAUGUUAUAUAUACCAUUUCAUUUAUUUAAUCUUUCAUUUACCAAUUUAAAUCAUCACAUAUUAUCCUUACAAUCCAAAACCACAUUAACUCAAAAUACAACCUAGGUACAUCCCACAUAUACCAAAAUAAAAUAUACAUCACCAAGGUUGCUGAGAUCGGGAUUGGUUCGGAUGCUGGACCAGAUUUUGACUCCUACUGACCUACGCACGGAAAAUAACCGUACGCUGAGUAUAGACAUACUCAGUGGUAUUACUAUAAUUCAAACUAUAAUAACAAUAAUGAAAUAUAAAUAUUAAACAUAUAAAAAUUGAAUUUUCUCAAAUAUUAACUCGUUCUUAAACUUCAUUCGUUAAUAAUAGUAACACAAUUUCAACUAUUUAUCAAUUUCAAUCAAAUAUCAUGGACUUCAAUUUUCUUCACUACAUCAACGUUUUGAAUUUUCUCAAAUAUUAACUCGUUCUUAAACUUCAUUCGUUAAUAAUAGUAACACAAUUUCAACUAUUUAUCAAUUUCAAUCAAAUAUCAUAGACUUCAAUUUUCUUCACUACAUCAACGUUUAGUUCAUGCCUUCCAUUUCCAAUCUCAAUUUUAAUCCAUAAUUUAAAUUUCUCAUUUCAAUUUUUCACCCUAUUAACAGACCCGGACUUUGGCGGAUACACGGAUCCAACCAAACACACCAGAAUGGCACCUAGUGCCUCAUCGGAUAGUUCGAAGCAAAGUUGACACCCAGUGUCUCAUCGGCCUAGCCGAAGUAAAGUGGUACCCAGUACCUCAUUAAAUCUAUCUGAAGUAUAAUAGUGACACUCAGUAUCUCAUCGACUCGAAGUCGAAGUAUCCCUAAACACUUCCAAUCCUAUGGCAUGCCAACUAUAUCCGACUUAGCCGGACUAGUUAAUAAGGUAUUUAAUUCACUUUCUCUGUUUCAAUCAAUAUUCACAUCAAUUCCACUUAAAUCACAAUUUCACUUUCAAUUCAAAAAUCCACUUUCAAAAUCAAAUACACUUUCCAUUCACCAAUCAAAAUACAAUUCAAUACUAACACAUAUUUCUCAUUCAAUUCAACUUCACUUUAAAUCCCAAAUUCUCUUUCAAUUCAACAAUUCAAUCAUUAUCCAAUACUAAAAUUUAUUUAACAACCAUUUCAAUUAUCAUUCAAUUCCAUAACAACACUUACCUCAUAAUUUACUUACCAAUUACAUAAUUUAAUUUAACAUUUAAUGAAUAAAUAAAUAAUUUGAAUUAUAGUAAUACAAACCCAGAUUUGUUCGAUUACUCCUCGAAAACUUUUUCCCUUCUUUUCGGUACCGAUGCCUUGGGUUCUUUGCUAGCUACGAAAAUAAUAAUAAUUUUCACUAUUAAUUAGAGCAUUAAAUUAUAAUAGAUAAUUGAAUUUUAUUCAAUUCCUACUUAUUUUCAAUUUAAUCCUAAAUAAGUUUACUUACUUUUCUAACUUAAUUCAUACUUCUUUUCUACUUAAUUUCUUGCCAUAUGAAACUCAACUAUUCAAUAUUCAUAAUAAAACUCUAAUUUAAAAUUUAUUUCAAUUUAAUCCCUCUAUCACAAAACUUAUAGCUUUUUUUACAAUUUAAUCCCUUUAUCAAUUCUAACUUAAAAUUUAUUCAAUUAAAUCCCUAAUUCACUAUUUUGUUCAACAUGAACUAUAUUUAAAAACUUUAAAACUUCCAAAACCUCAACUUAAUUUCAUUAAAACUUUAUUCCAAAGCUUCUAAAACAUCAAAUUUAAGAGAAAAUGGAUUAAUUGACUUACCAAAUUAAACUUCAAGCUUUAAAACCUUAGUUUCUCUUUUUGUUUUCUUUCUUUCUUUCCUUUCCCACUUUCGAAUGGCUUUCUCUGAUUUAUUUCCUUUCUUUCCUUUAUUUGUUUCUUUUUCUUAUUUACUUUAUAAUUAUAACUUAAUAUAUGUAUUAACUACUUAAUUUAUAAAUAUCUAUUUGAUAGCAAAUAUAUAUGUUACAAUUGUACAUUAUCUCCACCCUACAUUUGUCUUGAUCUAAUCUAUUUCAUAAUAUAAUAAUAUAAUAUUAAUGAAUAAUAAUUAUAUAUUUACUUAAAUAAAAAGUAAUUAAAUAAAAAAAUAUUACAAUUGUAUGUUCAUGAUUUAUCACACUUGUAUUUUACUAUCACCUUACAUUUGUCAUCUUAUUAAUUUAUUCAUUAAUUUAAUAAUAUAAUAUCAAUUAAAUAAUAAAUAUAAUAAGUAUCUAUUUAAUACACAAAUACAUAUGUUACAAAUGUACAUUUAUACAUUGUUACAUUUGUAUAUCAUCAUCACUAUCCACUUGUCAUGAAUUUAAUUUAUUUAUCAUAUAAAAAUCUUUUAAUAUAAUUAAUAAUCAUAAAAUAUCUUUAUACUUAAAUUAUGAGUUGUUAAAUAUGACUCCUACUUUCAGUCAAAUUUGAGAAAUAAUAUUUCAAUUAAACUCUGUUUACUUAUUUCAAUCAAAUAUUGAUUAGUUUAGAUUAUUUUACUAUUAUUUGACUUAUGAAUUUAGCCUAUAAAUAGGUUUUUUUAUAACCUUAGAAAAUAUAUACCCAUUAGAGAUUAGAACUCAUAACACAUUUAGAAAAUUUUGUGUUUACGUUUUGUAGGUUCUUUAUUUUUGGGUUUUCGGGGUUUAGUUUUUAUCUUCAUUUUUUGUACUCUUCGUUCUUUUGCCAUUAUAGUAAAAUUAUCUUUGCCCGUGGUUUUUUAUCCUCUUUGAAGGGGUUUUUCCAUGUUAAAUUUGUGUGUUCAAUUUCUCAAUUUAUUCCGCUAUUUUCUUGUUCGUUGCUUAAUCGGGUCGAAAUCCUAACAAGUGGUAUCAGAGCUAGUUCAUUUUCAUAGAUCAGCCCGUUCAGAGAUGGCAACAACAAGGUUUGAAAUUGAGAAGUUAGAUGGUGAAACAAAUUUCAAUCUGUGGUAAGUUCGGAUGAUGGCAAUUCUAGUUCAAUCCGGUUUGAAAAAGGUUCUUACUGGGAAAAAGCCUCAGAAUCUAAAUAAAACAGAAUGGGAAGAGCUUGAUGAAAAGGCUUUGUCUGCAAUCCAGUUGUGCCUCGCGAAUACGGUAUUGCAGGAGGUAUUGAUAGAGAAGACCUCAUCCGCCUUGUGGAAAAGGUUGAAACUCUUUAUACGACUAAGUUUCUGGCUAAUCGUUUAGUGUUGAAACAACGUCUAUUUACAUUUCGCAUGAACGAAUGUGAGCUUCUUAGAGAUCACAUCAGUCAAUUUAUUACUCUUUUAAAUGAUUUAAAGAAUGUUGAGGUUCAUAUUGACGAUGAAGAUCAGGCUAUGCUAUUAUUGUGCUAUUUACCCCCUUCAUACAAGUCUUUCAGGAAGACCCUGAUUUAUGGCAGAGACAAACUCUCGUUCAAAGAUGUGAAGGGUCAUUUUUUGAGUAGAGACAAACUCGACAAUGAGCUUCAUUUGGAUAGCAAGAUAGAUAGGCAAGCUUCCGUUUUGGUAGCAUCAAAGAAACGAGAUAAAAGGUGUCGCUAUUGUAAAAAGUUAGGUCACGUCAAAGUAGAUUGUUAUAAACUGCGAAAUAAAAAAAUAGCUGAGAGUAACGAGGAAGAUGUAGCUGGUGCUAAUUUGGCCGAUGAAAAUGGUGAUGAUUUCUUGUUAGUGUCAACAAGCGGUAACACCUAGCUCACGUCUGAGUGGGUCCUAGAUUCAGGAUGUUCUUUCCACAUGUGUCCCAAUAGAGAAUGGUUCUCCACAUACAGUUCGAUUGAAGGUGGAGUUGUGCGCAUGGGAAACGAUUCAUCUAGUAAGGGAAUUGGUAUUAGUACUGUUAAAAUUAAGAUGCACGAUGGGACGAUUAGGACACUCUCAGAUGUCAGGAAUGUACCUGAUUUACGAAAGAAUUUCAUCUCCUUAAGUAUUUUAGACUUGAAAGGAUGCAAAAUCAACAUCGAUUCGAGUGACAUUAAAGUAUCCCGUGGAGCUCUCAUUUUGUUAAAAGGUAAAAGAACCGGUAGUUUUUAUAUUCUGGAAGGUUAUACAGUGACCGGUGAAAUCGGACGUCCCUCGUCCGUUACGGAGUUGAAGUCAACUUGUUUGGAGCGGAGGCAACUUGGUCAUAGGAGGGAAAAAGGUAUGACUGUUUCGUUGAAGAGAGGUUCUCUUUUGGAUGCAGGUUUUGAAAAGUUAGGGCACUGUGUUCGUGAAAAUCAGACUCGGAUUAGUUUUGAUUUGGCAGUGUACAAGUCGAAGGCUAGAAGUCUUCCAAUUUCUAAGCACAAAUUUGACUCAAUUAAUUCCCUGCAUAGUUCAAGAUAGGCUCGUGGCAGGCUUUGGCAAAGAUGGCGUUGUGGAAAUAUGAGUCAAGGAGGAGAUUUGUUAAAUAUGACUCCUAUUUUCAGUCAAAUUUGAGAAAUAAUAUUUCAGUUAAACUCUGUUUACUUGUUUCAAUCAAAUACUGAUUAGUUUAGAUUAUUUUACUAUUAUUGGCUCUUUUACAACCUUAGAAAAUAUAUACCCAUUAGAGAUUAGAACUCAUAACACAUUUAGAGAAUUUUGUGUUUACGUUUUGUGGGUUCUUUAUUUUCGGGUUUUCGGGGUUUAGUUUUUAUCUCCAUCUUUUUUACUCUUCGUUCUUUUACCAUUAUAGUAAAAUUAUCUUUGCCCGUGGAUUUUUAUCCUCUUUGGAGGGGUUUUUCCACGUUAAAUUUGUGUGUUCAAUUUCUCGAUUUAUUCCGCUAUUUUUUUGUUCGUUGCUUAAUCGAGUCGAAAUCCUAACAUGAGUAAAUUAUGUAUUUAAAUUACAAUUAUACAAAUAUAAUUUUUACACAUGUAUAUUUUUAUUACCAUACAUUUAUAUUUAUCUAAUUUGUUUCAUAAUAUAUAAUAUAAUUAUAAUAUAAUCAAUACCUAAGAAAAAUCUCAGAUUUUUCAAUCUAAUUGCCGCCUCAAUUAUAUCAAAUGGAAUAUUUGCCAUUUUGGUCCUCCUUUCUUUUUAUUAAUCUAUAAUUCAACUUUUGCCCCUUAUUCAAUUUAGUCUUUUUUUCUAAUUACUCUUAAUUAAGUUAAAUUCACCUAAUUAAACCCUAAUUAGACACACUAUUAGACUUAUAGGUAUUUUUAAUAAUUAUUUACAGGUUCGGUUUAUUGAGACGGUGUAAUGACCCGAAUUUUACCGAUACUGAAAAAAUAUAAUUUCAGAUCUCUGUUUAUGAAAAAUGGAUUCGUAAAUAUUUAUUAAAAAUAUUUACGAAGUAAAAAUAAGUGGUUAAUUAGAGUUUAAUUAAGUUAAUUAAGAGUGAUUAGGAAAAAGGAUUAAGUUGAAUGAAGUGUAAAAGUUUAAUUAUAGAAUUAAAGAGGAUAAGGGGGACUAAAUAGGCAAUUAAGCCUAUUCUAAAGAAUGAGGCGGCAAAACAUAAAAAUCUUUAAUUUUUAUGUUGUUUAAAUUAUAAAUAUAUUAUUAAUGUUAUUAUUUUAUUACAAAUUAAAUUAAUUAUAUUAUUAUAUUUUGAAAUAAAUUAGAAAAGACAAAUGUAUGGUGCAUAUGGUGACAUGUGUAAUAUUAAUAUACAUACAAUUGUAAAAUACAUGUAUAUUUACUUAUCAUAUAAUUAUAUUAUUAAAUUAUAUAUUAGUAUUAAGUUAAAGAUAUUUAUAUAAUAAAUAGAUUAAAGAAAGACAAAUGUAAGGAUAUAAAUGGAUACAAAUGUUAAAUAAAUAUUGGUUAUUUAAUAGAUUUUUAUUGUUAUUAUAUAUAUAAAACAAAUGGAAUAAAGAAAAAAAAAGAAGAAAGAUGGAAAAGAAACACAAUGAAACGAAACAGAGAGCAAGGGAGAAAAAGAAAGAAAGAAUAGAAAGAAAGGGAGAAAAGGGAAAAUUCAAGGUUUGAAGCUUUAAGCUUUAAUAGGUAAGUCAAUCAAGCCCUUUUUACUUAAUUUUGAUAUUUUAGAAGUUUUAGAACGAAGUUUUGAUGAAGUUAAGUUGAUAUUUUGAAAAUUAUUAGAUUUCUAGAUAUUAUCCAUGUUAAAUAAAAUGAUGUAUUAAGGGCUAAAUUGAUAGAAAUUCAAGUUAGAAAUGAUAUAAGGAUUGAAUUGUAAAGUGAUUCAUAAGUUUUAUGCUUUAAGGACUAAAUUGAAAGAAUUUCGAAAUUAUGGUUUUAUGAUGAAAAAUAGAUAAUUAUGUCUAAGUUUGGUUAAAAAUUGAGUAGAAAUAAAGUAUAAAUUAAGAUAGAAAAGUAAGUGAAUUUAGUUAGGAUUAAAUUGAAAUUAAAAGUAGAAAAUCAACAUUUUGCAUUAAGACUAUUUUAGACAGCAGCAGUAGUCUAAGUUUGAAAAAUCACCAAAAAUUAUAUAAAUUGAAUUAUAGAAUUAAUAAAAUAUAUAAUUAAAUAUUAUUGAGCCUAGUUUCUUAUAGAAGAAACGUUAUAAGCAAUUGAAUUGUAAAUUAUGAGAUAUAAUGAAUUUUGUGAGACAAAGUCAGAAUGAAUUCGGGUUCCCCUAUUCUGACUUUGGAAAAUCACCAAAAAUUGGAUAAAAAUAAUUAGGGGCUUAAAUUUAUAUUUUUAGAAUCCUAAAUGAGUCUAUUUUCAAGAUAAAUAAAUGGGAACAUCAUUUGAAUUUUUUACUAGAAGAUAAUCAAUUUUUAGUGAAGAAGGGUCAGAAUUGUCAAACAGCAGAACAGGGGAAAAUUUAAAGAAUAAAAUGUACUUAUUGGCUAAACCAAAAAUUCUGAAAAUUUUAUGGUAAGAAGAUAUAUGAGUCUAAUUUUAGGGAAAAUUAUCAGAUCUUAAUUUGAAGUUACAUAGCUCCAGAUAUAAAUAAUUUAGUGACUAUAACACAGAUAGAUAGCUUUGAAUAUACAUAUAAGUCAAUAGUGAAAUUAUUGAUAACGUUACUUGUAAGCAUGAUAUAUACAUUAAGGAUGUGAAAUGGAGAGGAAGAGGAGGAAAAUAUAUAUGAAUAUUCAGUUAGCAUGGCUAAUUUGCAUGUUUUAAGCUCAUGGACUAAAUUGAAUAAAAGUAAAACUUUAGGGGGUAAUUUUGUAAAAAUGUCAAAAAUAACUAAAUUUAAUGGAAUGAAUUGUUUUAUUAUCUAAAUUAAUAAGUUGAAUGAAAUUAUCAAUUUAAGAUUGGGUGAAAUUUGGGAAAAUGGUAAAUUACCAAUAUGCCCCUAAAUCUUGGUAUUUCUGUAAUUUAGUCAGGUAGGUUCGUAUAUCCUGAAUCAGCAUGUAAAUAUGACAAUUUAAAUAUUGUAUCAUAUUUUAUAUGAUGUUUGAAUUGAAUAUAUGAAAAGGAUGUUACAUGAAACAUGAAAAUGAAUACUAAAUAAUAUGAAUUAAUUGAAAUUAUUCUGAAAAUCUCGGUAAUGCCUCGUAUCCUAUCCCGGUCUCAGGUACGGGUAUGGGGUAUUACAGACGGAGGCCCUAUAAUGUACUUUUUUUGAAGCCCGUGAAUUUUGGAUCAUUACAAAUAGUUGUCAAAUCAUUCGUUUUCUUCCAAGUGGCAAGUACGAGCAAUCUAUAUGUCCAGACCUAAUCAUAAAGAAAAUAUAAAAUUAAUUAAUGUCAAUCCCUAACAGCGCCAAAUUUUGACGGGUGUCAUCCACCAAAAAUAAAAUCUCUUCUCCUAAAAUUAAAAUCAAAUUUAAAUAUAGGGAGUAAGGUCAAUCCCAUAAAGACCGAUCUAAUUGAAUCUAGACUUUGUUAUAAUUAACUAGAAUGUGUCGUAGGCAGUUUUCAUGUCCACAACUCAUGCCAAUCUGUAUGAAAUAGAAAGGGGGAUUAAAUUGAAAUAUAAAUUAAAUAAUAAGAAAAUAAAUAUAGUACAAAGAUCUCACAUUUCUGUCUAUCAACAUUAGACCUCAAAGUUUUUAUCUCUUACAAUUAGAUCCUUAACAACUAGGCUUGUUCAUGGACUAGGCCACCCAACCUAGCCCGAAAAGUGGGAAGGUUUGGGCAAAAAUAUAGGCCCGAAAAAUGAGCUUCAACAAAAAAAUAAGGCUUAUUUAAAAAACAGGUUGGGCCUUAAGUAAAGCAUUUUUUGCCCGGGUUUGGCCCGACCUGAAUUCACAAAAAGACAAAAAAUUUCCAACUUUUGUUGUUUUAAUGCUAUUUUCUUAUUAUUUUCCUCCUAUUUUGCUACUAUUUCACUAUUAUGUUGCUACUAUUUGUUGUUGUUGUUUGGAUAUUGUAUAACACUUGUUUUAUUGUUAAUUUUGUUAUUAUUUUAUAGGCAUUUGCUUGUAAAGUUGCAUCUAUCUUAAUGUUAUUUAAGUAUAUACAUUUUUUUUAAAUUUUUUAGUAUUUUUGAUAUAUUAUAUAUAUUUAAAAAUUAUAUUAAAAAAUUAAUACGGGGUCAAACUCAAGUUUUAAUAUUUUUAUCCGAACUGAGCCUAGAUAAAAUUUUAGACUCAUUUUUCGGGUCAAGCCCAGGCGUAACAAACGGGCCUAAUUUUUUUUGGACCUGACCCAAACUCUGUCCGACCCUACCCAUGAGCACCUCUACUACCAACAUAUAUUUACUCAAACUUAUCCAAACUUGAAUUAAUAUACCAACAUAUAUUUACUCAAACUUAUCCAAACUUGAAUUAAUAUCUCUUUAACACAUUUUCCCCAUUUUCACAUUGUAGAUUUAACUAACAUUAAACAUCCUAACUCAAUUUUGAUAUAGGGGAGAGUAUUCGAUUGAAUCGAGUGAAAAAAUUUUGAGUUUAUAAGCCUUAUUUUAUCAUCCUAAUUUAAUUUAAUUUUUUUUCGAACUGAGUUGAAUAAAAUAAAAUUCAAAUUGAUUUAAAUUUUAAAAAUUAAACAUUUUAAAUAAAAUAUUAUUACAGUAUAACUAAUUCUAUAUUAAAACAUAUAAAUUUAAAAUUAACCGACAUAUUCCAAAGUUUAAAUAGCAACAACAACAUAAUAUUUUGACUCUUUUCAUUGUUCAAUAUUUAUUUCAAUUAACCGACCGACAUAACAUUAGUUACAUCGACAAUCACAAUAAAUAUAGUACGGUAGAAAACACAACAAUGAUUAUAGUUUAGAUUCACUAUUAUAGGAAUAACUAUUAAUCUUGGAGGUCUUCAUGUUUAAUUUUUUAUAUAAUAUAUCCCUUUGGACCCAGCCAAGCACCCAAAAAAGGAAGCAUUCCUUCCCUCGCUUGGAUUUAAUAGAUGAGUUUUACAUUAAUCUUACACAUUUGAAUAGCGAUAAUCAUUAUAUUGUAAAUUAAUAAAUGAAAAAAAUGAAGAGAUAUUAAUCUAUAUAAACAAUAUUGGUCAGUAAAAAUAUGAUUACUUAAAUUUUACUUUGAAUUUAAAUUUGUAAUAUUUCAAAUAAUAGGUUGAAUGCAUUAUAAUGUUGUAUUAAUUUUAUAUAUUUAUACAAAUUUUAUUUAACAAAUUGAAUUUUAAUUUUAUAAUAUAAUUUUUUUAUUAUUCACAUUAAGUUUUCAAUUAAUUUGAUAUAUAUGUUAUUUGAGAAUACAGUUUUAUAUAUUUUUAAUGGUUGAAUUUUUUUAUAUUAAACACAAAAAUAUACUUUUUAACAUAUUCCAAUUUUGAUGUAAUUUUACAUAUAACAUGAAAUUAAACAAAUAUAAGAUCUUAUAAAAAAAAAGACUAAGGAAAUAUUUAAACUUAGAUUGAUUGUGUACUUAGCCAGGUCUAGCUGGACAGGUCUACUUGUAAGAUUGGAAUAGCCAAUGAUUCCAACUUGUCAUAUCAAAGUACAAAGACAUUUUUGUCUUUGCUCAAUAAUGCUCUAUUCAAUUAUAAUUUUACAAAUAUACAUGGGAGUUGAAUUUUUGGUAUUCCAAUAGAAUUCCCAGAAGCCAAUAAGGGACCAUAAAAUGAAAAGGAAAUAAAAAAUAGAGUAAGGUUUAUUUAAGGUUAAAGGUCAGGGACCAUUCAUGAAUUUGAUUCCUCAAAAAUCAUUUAUAAAUCAUAGCCUCACCUCCGGGGUCUGCACUUCAAGAACUUCAUGGGUAAAACUAUUAGUAGCUGCCUUUUACCAGCUUUAAUAUCUUGUUUUUACUUGCAGCUGCAGUUUGGCACUGCUUCAGACACUAUAAGAACAUCAGAAUCCAUCAAAGACCCUGAAUUUAUAAUCUCACAGGGUGGAGUUUUCCGAUUGGGAUUCUUCAGCUUUGCUAAUUCCACCAAUCGUUAUGUAGGUAUAUUGUACAACCAAAUCCCCGUACAAACAGUUGUGUGGGUGGCAAAUAGAAACAGGCCUCUCAAAGUCUCUUCUGGGAUUCUCACCAUAUCAGAUGAUGGCAACCUUGUUGUUUUGAAUGGAAAAGCUGAGAUUCUUUGGUCAACAAAUGUUACGAAUCUGAUUCCUAAUGCAACAACUGCACAGCUUUUAGACUCUGGAAAUCUUGUCCUCAAUAACGGCGACAAUGGAGGAAGCAGCAGCUUAUGGGAGAGUUUUCAACACCCUUCUAAUGCAUUCCUUCAAACUAUGAAGUUGGGCGUUGAUUUAAAAACGGGUCGUAAGGUGCGUACGAGAUCAUGGAAAGGCCCUGAUGAUCCAUCUGAUGGUAACUUUUCUCUAGGCCUUGAACCUUUCAACAUCCCAGAGGGUGUCAUUCGGAACAAUAACCAGAUAUAUUUUCGGACUGGCCCAUGGAAUGGCCAUAUCUAUAUUGGUUUAAAAGAUAUGAAUACCGUUUAUCUUGAUGGGUUUUAUGUGGUUGCAGAUGAUGAAGGAAAAAAUUAUUAUGAAACUUACGAAUAUUCUAAUAAGUCUAUGUUGAUAUACUAUGAAUUAGAUUAUGAAGGAAGAUUCGUUGGACGAAACUGGGAUGCGGGGACAGGGGACUGGAUAAAUAGUUACCUAAUUCUUCAAACAGAUUGUGAUUUUUAUGGAAAGUGUGGGGCAUUCGGAAUCUGUGAUCGAACGAAACGACCCAUUUGCAGUUGCUCAAAGGGAUUUAAGCCUAGGAAUGCAGAGGAAUGGAUUAGAGGUAAUUGGAGUAGUGGGUGUUUUAGGACUACCCCUUUGCAGUGCCAAAGAGAUAACAACAAUGGCAGUGGAGGAGCAGGGCAAAGUGAUGAUGGGUUUUUGAAGCUCAAGACGAUGAAAGUACCGGCUUUUCCAGACCAGUCAUCAAUAAUUAAAGGCGAAUGCAAAGAUCAAUGCAUGAAGAAUUGUUCGUGCGUGGCUUAUGCGUAUGAUGCUGGUAUUGGUUGCAUGUUAUGGAGUGGAGAUUUGAUUGAUGUCCAGAAAUUCCCCACUCGCGGAGUCGAUCUUUACAUUCGUCUGUCAUCUUCGGAACUUGGUAACCUUGUCUUCAUGUUGACCAUGUUUGAUAAAUUGCGUCAAUUACCCAAGUAUUAUUAACCAAGUGUCUAAAAUUGCAGAUAAAGGCAAAAGUACUAAGGUCAUUGCAAUUACAACAGUAAUUGCGGGCAUAGUGGUUAUUACAAUUUCUGCACUCUUCCUAUGGUGUGGGAUGGCUAAACAAAGAGGUAAAUUGUCGUCUCUAUUUAUUUAAUUUAUGUAGUCACUUUUUUUUAAAUGAAAUAUGCAAUCACUUUAAGAGGACAAUAUCUGAUAAAUUUGUAACAACACCUAAAAUCAAUAAAUAAAAGGGUAAUAUGUUUCAAAGAAUCUAUAUCUUUUUACAUUAACAACAAUAUAUUAUUAUUGUUACAACAAUAGUUGUGUGCGUAGCGAUAACUACAAUUAUGUAGCCUUCAACUCAUUGCUUCUUUGAUUUCUAUAUCAGGAAGGAAUAAAAGACACAAACAGAUCAAACACAAAUCUUAUAGUGAAAAUGUUGGAGGAAGUUCAAUCGGUGUUAAACUCAAGCAGCUUCCACUAUUCAAUUUCGAACAACUUGCCACCGCGACCAACAACUUCCAUCCUGCAAAAAAGCUAGGGCAGGGUGGUUUUGGUCCAGUUUACAAGGUAAUAAAUAAUAGCUAUUUCCGGUGAAUCCAGAGUCAAUGAAAUGACAUUUUUUUCUCAAUCAAGUAUUGUGAUCUGAAUUGUGAGUGCAGGGAACAUUAGAUGAUGGAAAAGAAAUAGCAGUGAAGAGAUUGUCGAAAGCUUCGGGGCAAGGAUUGGAAGAAUUUAUGAACGAAGUGGUGGUUAUUUCAAAGCUCCAACAUCGAAAUCUGGUUAGAUUAUUUGGGUGUUGUGUUGAAGCAGAAGAGAAGAUGCUCGUCUAUGAGUUCCUGCCCAAUAAAAGUUUGGACGCUUUUUUAUUUGGUUAGUAAUUUAUUCAAACUCCUAAGUGUUCAUAUUUAACUCCAAUUAAAUUUAAAAUCAAAGUCGAAUCCUUAAAAAAAUGGCCAUUCACAAAAUUUAAAUUAAAAACUUUGUUUAAGAGGCAUUUAAAUUCUUACCUUUCAAUUCACUAGUCAUGGGAUAUAAUUUUGACUUUUAAGUGGCCAAAUCCAACUUAAAUCUAAUUAUAUAUUAUAUUUUUUGCUAAAAAUAAAUGUUAGUGUCUUACAAUAUAUGAAUUGCAUAACCUAGCUAAGCUAGGUACAAUAUAUAUGUAUACAUAUAUAAUAUGUUUUAUAUAUAUAUAUAUAAGUAAAAAAAAUGUUUGCAUCACCAUUAUUUAUUUUUCUAACUUAUUUUGCUUUUUUUAUAAAUAUUUCUAAUUUUUUUAUUUUUAUUCUGAAAAAAACGAAAUUUCAAAAAGAAAAUAGAUCGAAUAACAUUCAAGGUUAUUAAGUAAAAUUACUAUAUAUAUUCAAUUUUGUGCUGUCUAUAUUUUUUUUUCUGAAUUUUCACUUUUUUCUUUGAAUUUUCUCUCUCUCUCUUUUUUUUUUAUCUAUUUUAUAAGGAAAAUUAUAUAUUUUUUAAUAGGAGUUGGUCUAUACUCUAGGAUUUAAAUAGUGGUGGCAGCAGUUUCAAGCAAAAAAAAAAAAAUAGUGGUGGCAGCAGUAAGUUUUGACUCUUUCCGCAUUUUAAUGUUUAUUUGAAUUGACUGACAUAACUUCAAUUAUACUACAAUCAUAAUGAAUACAAUAUGAUAGAAAUAAAAUGCUGGUUUUAGUUUAGAUCCUCAAUUAUAGGAAUUAAUUAUUAAUUCUGGUGGUAAAUUUUGUUACAGAUCCUGUUAAACAAAGACUUUUAGAUUGGAGAAAACGCUUCAACAUUAUUGAAGGAAUCAGUCGAGGAUUGCUUUAUCUUCAUAGAGAUUCAAGAUUGAGGAUUAUACAUAGAGAUUUAAAAGCAAGUAAUGUUUUACUUGACCAAGAUUUAAAUCCAAAAAUUUCAGAUUUUGGGAUGGCUAGAAUCUUUGAAGGUGAUGAAAAUCAAGCCAAUACUAAAAGAGUUGUUGGAACUUAGUAAGUUGGAACUUUCGCCCUACCAUUUAUUUUUAUUCAUUUUUUGAUAAAAUAUGAUAUAAAUGUCUAUGGUCAGGUUCCGUGCUUAAAGAAAAUACAUAUCCAUACCCGAAUCAAGUUUAAUUUUUUUCAAUUUGUGGACUCAAUUUAUUGUUUUUAAUUUUAAAUGAUUUAUUAUUUAUUCUUAAUUUGAGUUGGCUCGAGGACAAGUUUAAAUUAGAGUUAUAAUUGGUGUUGUUUUUUAUUUUAAAAUACAGUGGUUAUAUGUCUCCUGAGUAUGCAAUGCUAGGGCAAUUUUCAGAAAAAUCAGAUGUGUUCAGCUAUGGAGUUCUACUACUAGAGAUUGUUAGUGGAAGAAGAAACACAAGCUUUUACAACAAUAAGGAUGACCUUAGCCUCUUGGGAUAUGUAAGUUCAUAAUAUAGUUAGAGAUGUUGGUGGAUGGAAUUAAGGUGUAAGAUGUUGUAUUUGCGAGGUAAUCGGGUUCGAUUUCAGAAAACUUAAAUUUGCCUUAGCAAUUAUUGAGUCGAGCAAUCAUGUGAGUUGAAUUUGAGAAUCUUAAUACUUGAAUCGAGUAGCUCGCAAGCUAACUUCAAAAACCCUAAUACUUGAAACAAGUAGCUUGCAAGACUUUUCAAUCUUAAUCAAUAUUGAAAAUUUUCAGUUCAAACUCGAACUUGAUUAUAAAUAAUCAAGUUUGAAGUUAAGCAUAAGAGUGAAGCUCAUUGUAGGCUUAAGUAAAACAAGCCUAAGAGAGUUGGAACAUUUCAAUCUUUAUCUUGAAUAGAGCUGAUCAAACUCUUUUAAAGGUUUAACAUUAAAAUUUUGAUUCAAGCUAAGCCAAAUAAUUUUGGCAUUAAUUAUGUCAAAAGUUGUUUUUUGUUUUCAGGCAUGGAAAUUAUGGAGGGAAGGUAAUAUUUGGGGCUUAGUAGACAAAGUGAUUGCAGAGUCGAAAUCAGAUUCAAAUAAUGAAAAAGAAAUAUGGAGAUGCAUACAUGUUGGAUUGCUAUGCGUUCAAGAAUAUACUAAAGAUAGGCCCACUAUAUCUACUAUUAUUUCAAUGCUUAAUAGUGAGAUUUCAGAUCUUAACACUCCAAAGCAACCUGCUUUCACUCAAGCACCACUAAUAAGCCAUGAUGUUGAAGAUAAAGGUUCAUUUAAUGAUGUAACUCUUACAAACCUUGAUGGUCGAUAAAAAUGUAAAUUAAUUAUUUGUAUUGUUUACAAUUUAAGUUCAAGCAUUGAAAUUUAUUUUUAUAUUUUGUUUUGAUAUGUUUUUGUCAUUUUAUUUACUCCAUUAUAAAGUGAAUAAAUCUAAUUUCAAAUUCAACCUAGCUCGAGUUGAACAUAAAAAUUAACAAGUAGAACUCGUUUACCUCGAACUCAAAAAUCAUUUAAAACUCAAUAACUUGAAGUGAUUCAAAUUAAAAAAUUCUCAAAUUUUUAGUUUAUUUGUUCGAAUUUAGACUAAAUUUAUCAUCAUAUUUGUUAAUUGUGUCCCAAAUUCUAAAUUUUAACCAGAUAUGAUGUAAACACAAUAAUUCAAACUAGGUUAACUUAAACUCAAAUAUAAUCUAAACUCAAAAUGAUGCAAACUUAAAAAUGAUUCAAAAUCAAAAUAUUCAAGAUAACUUGACUUUAACUUAAAACUAAUCCUAAACCCUGUAUUUAUUUCUGGACUUGAAAUACAUCCGACGUCCGAACAAGACAUCUUAUUCCAAAUUGUGUUGAACGUUGUUUGAUCUUAUUCUUUGCAUUGUUGAAAUAAGUAAAAGAAGAUUGUGACAUUGUGUUGUCAAAUCAACCAAACGUGCCCAAGUAGCCAAAGACUUCCAAAUGUAGUCUAAUUUUUAUGAACGUUUCAUACAAGCUGUAUUGCAUUUCGAGUCUCACAGUUCAUGCAUUUUCUAUCAAUUGGAACAAAAUUUUUUAUUUUUAAAAAGUAAGAUAAUCAAAUUCUAAUAAAUUAUAGUAAAAAAAGGGGCUAAUUUUCAAUUUUCUAUAAAGUAAAAAUAUAGAAAUUAUUAGUUUAACAGUUAACACCUCCUUUUAUCUCCCUAGAAAUUUUCCAAACAAAUCAUUUGCUGAAGCUGAGUGCAGCAUUAACAGCCAAUACAACUAGUGAAUUAAUGUUCAAAAAUUAAUUUGCCUCAAUCUCUGACUUUCCAUUAACAACAUUUAGUCCCACAUAAUUAAAGUGAGUUUACUUUUUCAACAAAUCAUCCAUAUGCAUGCACCUUCGUAGAAAAAAAAAAACCCUCAUGAUUAACUAUCUCGUGGAUUAAAUUCUAUUAUUAAAGCACACAAAAUCUUUCACUCCAAUAAUUUACAAGCUAAAUUUAAAUGUUUGAAUGUCUUUAUUGGUUUUAUAACGUGAAACUAAUCAUGUUGAAAUUGGAGUGGUAUUAGUGUUGUUUCAUGUGUGAACACGGGAAGACACUCGUUUACCUUUUUUAAACUUCAACGCAAGAGCAAGUCGAUAAAAUUAAAAGGGUGAAUAGCGCUUGAAGAAAAUUGAAAUCUUAACAAAACAUUUGCAGUUGCCUUGAAACAUCAUUACAUCAUAUUCCAAAUAUCAUUCGUAAAUCAUAGCCUCAAUUCCACGUUCUGGUAAGAGAUGGAGAGCGUUAUUAGCGACUCUGUGUUACUAGCUUUUGAAAUUUUACUAUUGUCUUGUUUUUACUUACAAUUUGGCACUGCUUUAGACACCGUAACACCAUCAGAAUCCAUCAAAGACCCUGAAUUUUUAAUCUCCCAGGGUGGAGUUUUCCGAUUGGGAUUCUUCAGCUUUGCUAAUUCCACCAAUCGUUAUGUAGGGAUAUUGUACAAUCAAAUCCCCGUACAAACAGUGGUAUGGGUAGCAAACAGAAACAAGCCUCCCAAAGACUCUUCCGGGAUUCUUAACAUAUCAGAUGAUGGUAACCUUGUUGUUUUGAAUGGAAAAGCUGAGAUUCUUUGGUCAUCAAAUAUUACGAAUUUGGUUCCUAAUGCAACAACUGCCCAUCUUUUAGACUCUGGAAACCUUGUCCUUAGUAAUGGUGAGGAUGGAGCAAGCAGC
RNAcentral lists this long non-coding RNA (66978 nucleotides) under Gossypium barbadense (sea-island cotton). Its description in RNAcentral is "long non-coding RNA (GBAR_LNC000047)". The record is from RNAcentral. Lineage: Eukaryota; Viridiplantae; Streptophyta; Magnoliopsida; Malvales; Malvaceae.